RNAcentral lists this long non-coding RNA (56487 nucleotides) under Ananas comosus (pineapple). RNAcentral describes it as "long non-coding RNA (ACOM_LNC024337)". The record is from RNAcentral. Lineage: Eukaryota; Viridiplantae; Streptophyta; Magnoliopsida; Poales; Bromeliaceae.
ACCGCUCGCCGCGCCCGAAUCGUGCCAAAUUGGUAGUGAUCUCGGGGCGGGGCGUGACAUGAGUAGUCUAAUGUUGUUCCGGUUUUUGUUCUUGUGAACAUUGACAUCGAUUCGUUCCAAAUUUACACUCUCGGGGCAUAAUAGAACAAUAUAAUUAGGUUUUACGCUUUAUUAGAUAGAAUGAGAAAAAGUACCCGUUGCAAAGUUAUACUGUUAGGGUGCAACUGAGUAGUCUAAUGUUAUUCUGAUUUUUAUUCUUGUGAACGUUGACAUCGAUUCGUUCCAAAUUUACAAUCUCGGGGCAUAAUAGAACAAUAUAAUUAGGUUUUACUCUUUGUUCGAUAGAAUGCGAAAAAGUACUCGUUGUAAAGAUAUACUGUUAGGGCGCAACUGAGUAUUCUAAUGUUGAUCUGGUUUUGGUUCUUAUGAAUGUAGACAUCAAUUCAUUCCAAAUUUGCACUCUCGGGGCAUAAUAGAACAAUAUAAUUAGGUUUUACACUUUGUUCGAUAGAAUGAGAAAAAGUACUCGUUGUAAAGUUAUACUGUUAGGGCGCAACGAAGUAUUCUAAUGUUGUUCCGGUUUUGGUUCUUGUGAACGUUGACAUCGAUUCACUCAAAAUUUACACUCUCGGGGCAUAAUAGAACAAUAUAAUUAGGUUUUACUUUUUGUUCGAUCGAAUGAGAAAAAGCACUCGUUGUAAAGUUAUACNGUUUUUGUUCUUGUGAGCGUUGACAUCGAUUCGUUCCAAAUUUACACUCUCUAGGCAUAAUAGAACAAUAUAAUUAGGUUUUACGCUUUCUUCAAAAAAAUGAGAAAAAUUACUCGUUGCAAAGUUAUACAGUUAGGGCGCAACUGAGUAGUCUAAUGUUAUUCCGGUUUUUGUUCUUAUGAGCGUUGACAUCGAUUCGUUCCAAAUUUACAAUCUCUGGGCAUAAUAGAACAAUAUAAUUAGAUUUUACGCUUUCUUCGAUAAAAUGAGAAAAAGCACUCGUUGCAAAGUUAUUCUGUUAUGGCGCAACUGAGUUGUUUAAUGUUGUUCCGGUUUUUGUUCUUGUGAGCGUUGAUAUCGAUUCGUUCCAAAUUUACACUCUCUGGGCAUCAUAGAACAAUAUAAUUAGGUUUUACGAUUUUUUUUAUAAAAUGAGAAAAAUUACUCGUUGCAAAGUUAUACUGUUAUGGCGCAACUGAAGUGCCUAAUGUUGUUCCAGUUUUUGUUCUUGUGAGCGUUGACAUCGAUUCGUUCCAAAUUUACACUCUCUAGGCAUAAUAGAACAAUAUAAUUAGGCUUUACGCUUUCUUCGAUAAAAUGAGAAAAAGUACUCGUUGCAAAGUUAUACUGUUAGGGCGCAACAGAUUUGUCUAAUGUUGUUCCGGUUUUUGUUCUUAUGAGCGUUGACAUCGAUUCGUUCCAAAUUUACACUCUCUGGGCAUAAUAGAACAAUGUAAUUGGAUUUCACGCUUUUUUCGAUAAAAUGAGAAAAAGCACUUGUUGCAAAGUUAUUCUGUUAUGGCGCAACUGAGUUGUUUAAUGUUGUUCGGAUUUUUGUUCUUGUGAGCGUUGACAUCGAUUCGUUCUAAAUUUACACUCUCGGGGCAUAAUAGAACAAUAUAAUUAGGUUUUACGCUUUCUUCGAUAAAAUAAGAAAAAGCACUCGUUGCAAAGUUAUACUGUUUGGGCGCAACUGAGUAGUCUAAUGUUAUUCCGAUUUUUGUUCUUAUGAACGGUGACAUCGAUUCGUUCCAAAUUUAUAAUCAAGGGGUAAAAUAGAACAAUAUAAUUAGGUUUUACUCUUUGUUCGAUAGAAUGCGAAAAUAUACUCGUUGUAAAGUUAUACUGUUAGAGCACAACUGAGUAUUCUAAUGUUGUUCCGGUUUUGGUUCAUAUGAAUGUUGACCUCAAUUCAUUCCAAAUUUGCACUCUCGAGGCAUAAUAGAACAAUAUAAUUAGGUUUUACUCUUUGUUCGAUAGAAUGAGAAAAAGUAAUCGUUGUAAAGUUAUACUGUUAGGGCGCAACGAAGUAUUCUAUUGUUGUUCCGGUUUAGGUUCUUAUGAACGUUGACAUCAAUUCCUUCCAAAUUUACACUCUCUGGGCAUAAUAGAACAAUAUAAUUAGNNNNNNNNNNNNNNNNNNNNNNNNNUGAGCGUUGACAUCGAUUCGUUCCAAAUUUACACUCUCUGGGCAUAAUAGAACAAUAUAAUUUGGUUUUACGCUUUCUUCGAUAAAAUGAGAAAAAGUAUUCGUUGCAAAGUUCUACUGUUAGGGCGCAACUGAGUAGUCUAAUGUUGUUCCGGUUUUGGUUCUUUUGAACGUUGACAUCCAUUCGUUCCAAAUUUUAAUUUAUCUCAAACAGAUUUAAAUAUUAAUUCUUAUCCAAAUAGGAUUUAACUACAAAUCUAACCAAAUCCUAACAACAUGAACAAAGUACCAAGAGUGUUAGUUUUAUGUUAGAAUUAUAUCUAAAUACCAGCAAAAUUUGAGCUGUUGAUUAAGUAUUUUUAUAUAUAUUAAGCACUACCAUGUCCUCGUAAUGAUAUGUUCUAUUUCACUUAUGUGAUAGAUAUUGAAAUGUGCCUAAGCAAAGUUAGUGGAACUGUAUCGCAUUGAAAGGUUAGUAGAGCCUUUUUGUGGGUCACACACAAGUUGAAUUGCAAAAAAGUAAUGCUAUGCCCCCUCCUAAAAGUAGAUGUGAGUAGAUAUUUAGUUAAACUGGUUCGUUUGGGCUCUGUGGGACACACAUUAUAUGAUUUAAAUUCAUUGAUUUUGAUUCUGUAUGUUCUGAUAUCAAAAUUUAUGUCAUAAAAUGAUGAGCGUGGGAAUUGAACUUAAGAGGUACCUCUUAGAACAGAGAAGGCUUAGGAUAUACCAUAUUAUCCAAAAGUUCGAUUAGACUAUUCUGACAUCUGAAUAACCUGAGAGCAGACAUAGCUAAAGAAUCAAAUGGCAGCUAGGAGAAGAUGGGUGAUUUAGUUGGCAAAUAAAAUUCAAGUAAAUUUAACCUGAGAUAAAAACUGCACAACAUAAAUAAAAGAAAGAAAAGAAGAAAGCAAACAUAUAUGAAGCAGAUGAUUUAUCGCAGUUCGAUCUUUUCACCUACUCUAGUCCGGUCCUCUAUCUUCUCAAGACUCUCAUAUAAAUAUGAUUAGUUAAUUCAGAUUUGGCAAAAAUUCAGCACGGAUAUAAUUCGAAUAAAAUUCGUAUCUCAAUUUUUAAAUUUAUUGAAAAAUAUGACUUAAAAAAUGGAUUUGCCAAUUUUUCGGAUAUGCGAUUUAUAUGAAAAUUAUACGUUCACCAAUUAAAUAAAAAAUUCAGCUAUUAAACUAAGUUUUCUUCUCUAGAUUUAUGCUACUAGCAUACAUAAAUUCUUAAGAAUAUAAAAAUAGAGAGCUCCAAAGUAAAAUAGAUUAAUAAAAAAGUAAUAACAAAUUUUAUUAUCGUCUCCAUCUUCAUUUUUUUCAGAAUCCACAUACUCCGAAAGUUUAUGAAGUUUUUCAAUAAUACACGAAUAAUUCGGCAAUUAUUUGGAAAAAAAUUUUAUUCAAAAAUUUUACGUGUUUGUUUGGCUGAAUAGAUCGGCAUACGAGAGUUAUUUUAAAAAUAACUGUAUUUUAUCCAAGGCAAGUCCCCCGGGACCACGGCAAGACUUGCCUUGGGUCUAGGGUUCCGAGCCGUGCUGUGCCGGGCCAACGGCCUCUCCUCGUGCCUGGCCGUCGGGCCCCAGAAAUGCAGCCCAGCACGGCCUGAAGAGCCUGGCCGGCCCGGCCCGGCCCGGCACGAAUGCUACAAUAUCUGUGCCGGGCCGGGCGGCCGGCUGCCCGGCCCGUUUUACACUCCUAACUAGCACUCUGCGAUAGGCUGGGUCUACCACUUGUUCCAAAACCAACUCUAUAUCCUAAUCUAUUUUAAAUAAAGUUCGGAUAAUUACAAAUUAUGAAUUCUCUUAAAUUUUGCUUCACACAAUUUUUGGUUGCAUCAUAAAACAAUUUGGAUGUAAAAAUUCGAGACAUAUUUAAUAGAACUUUUUGUAUAUAUAUAUAUAUAUAUAUAGAGUGAGGCUACUAUGCUAUCGGAAGCACGGAGCCUUCCGUGCUUCCAGCUCGUUUUCGAUGUUGUGAUUUUUGAAUCGUCGAUCGGCUCCGUUAAACUUGAUCUAGAGUAUUUGNNNNNNNNNNNNNNNNNNNNNNNNNUAGUAAUUUGAAGUACCUAGAAAAUAAAUUUAUGAUUUACGAUAUCAUUUGGCCUAGUGAACGAAGGGGCUCAAAAUGCACGGCUGAAAAAUAAAAUCUUACAAAUGUAAUAAUAUGACAUUAAAUUUUAAAUCAAGAUAUUGAACUUGUUUUAUAUAGUAUAAUAAGAAUUUUCUAUCAAAAUUUCACUGUGAUUUGGAUAUUUUCACCGUUAAACUUGCAAACGGCUCAUACGGCAUUGAAAUUUGUUGAUUUUGAGCCAUUCGAUCAACUAGGCAAAUGAAUAUCGAAAAAAUAAUAAAAUUAUUUUCUAGUACUCCAAAUACUUCUUAGAUCAAUUUACCGAGCCGAUGCGACUCGAUUUGAAAGUCGCAACAUCGAAAACGAGCUGGAAUCGACGGAAGGCUCCGUGCUUGCCAAUAGCAUAGUAUAGUCUCACUCUAUAAUAUAUAUAUAUAUAUAUAUAUAUAUAUAUAGAGUCGGCUACUAUGCUAUUAAUAGUACGAAGCACUUGUGCUACCUAAUUUUUCCGCGCGUUAGAUCUAGCCCUUUUGUGAUUCAUUUCACCAGUUAGAUCAUACAUUCACCACACACCACUCAAACCAUAGGGGCCCACAUCAUCCUAACCGACAUUCUUAAUCCAAUACAACCCAACUGGGUGUAGCACAAUUGCUUGGUGCUAUUAAUAGCAUAGUAGCGCUAGUUCUAUAUGAGUCCGGCUAACUAUGCUAUUAAAUGUACGAAUGCGGCUUGUGGCUACAAGUUUUCCGCCGUUAGAAUGCUACACUUUUGAUUAUUUCAUCCGUUUAGAUCAUAACUAUUCAACCAACCACCACUCAAAUCCUAGGGGCCACAUCAAUGCCUAACCGCACCAUCUCUUCAUCCAAUGGCCCAAAAAACUGAGGUAGCACCAAUGACUUGGUGCUAUUAAUAGCAUAGUAGCCUAGUUCUACUAUGAGCCGGCUACUAUGGCUAUUAAUUGUACGAAGCACUUGGUGCUACCCAAGUUUUCCGCCGUUAGAGUCUAUCCCUUUUGAACAUUUUUCACGAUCCGUUAGAUCAUUCUAAUUCAACCAACCACCCACCAAACCCUUAAGGGGGGGGGCCCCAAUAUCAUCCUUAACGCACAUCUCUUAAUCAAUGCCGAAAACUGGGUAGCGACAAUGACUUGGUGCUAUUUAAUAGCAAUACCUAGUUCUAUAUGAGUCCGGCUAACUAUGCUAUUAAUAGUAUGAAGCACUUGGUGCUAACCAAGUUUUCCGUAGCCGUUAGAUCUACCCUUUUGACAUUAUCAUCCCGUUAGAUAUACUAUUCAUGCUAGUUAGAGUGUAAAACGGCCGGGCAGCCGGCCGCCCGGCCCGCACGGAUAUUGUACAUUCGCGGGCGGGCUCGGGCCGGCAGGCUCUUCGGGCCGUGCUGGGCUGCAUUUUCUGGGGCCGACGGCCAGGCAUGAGGAGAGCCGUUGGCCGCACAGCAGGCCCGGAACCCCUAGACCCAAGGCAAGUCUUGGCCGUGUCCCGGGGGACCUUGCGUUGGAUAAAAUCGUUUAUUUUAAAUAAUUUCGUAGCCGAUCUUAUUCAGCCAACAAACAUGCGAAAUUUUUGAAUAAAAUUUUUUUGCCAAAUAAUUGCCGAAUUAUUCGUGUUUAUUGAAAAAACUGCACUCUCUUAAUCGCAAUCCAAAACUGGGUACACCAUGACUUGGUGCUAUUAUCGCGAUAGUAACCUAGUUUAUAUAUAUAUAUAAAUAUAUAUUAUAUAUAAUAUAUAUAUAUAAUAUAUAUUAUAUAUACAAAAUGAUAAGCCAAAAGCUGUUUAAUUAAAAAAUGAAAAUUCCCCUAACUAUAUAUUCGGAGGCAAUUAACUAUAUCUGAACAUCAUAAUUUAUCUCUAAGUAAAUUUAAUAGUUUAUUUUAGAUGGCUAUUUUUGAUGUCCUAGUUUAGCAUUAGAGUUCCUGCAAACCCAAAAAAACAAAAAAUUAUAACUAAACUAAAACUGAGCUGAAAUUUCUUUGAGUACGGAUUUUUACAGUUUGAGCGUGGAAAACUUAACGAUCCAUAAUUUUUCGCUCGAGUGUUUGUUUAUUAGUGUACAAUCUCAAUUCAAAAAACACCAUUCUAGAGAAUCUAUGCAAGAGCAACACAACGUGGUUUGAACCGAUUUUGGGAUCCAAAUUUUGGGAUCCGAAUUCAACUGUUAGGUCUCUGUUUUUAUAUUAUUAAAUUAUUUUGAAAAAUUCUUAGGUCUCUGUUUCCUUUUUUUUUUUUCCGCCUCCUUUUUUUUCACAUUCAUUGUGUCAUUGAGAGAUAGACAAAACGUUCUGUAGACACAACCUCUAAACUACAACGAUCAAGCACACACUCUGCUCAUGCAAAAUACACACUCCCAGCAGCGCAUCUCACCCCUGCCGUGAUCGAAAUCGGAUCCGAAACACUGCGUGAUCUCUCGAUACCGGGUAGAUCAGACUGUCUCCUCUUUCGCGAUCUCGUACUCCACGUAUCUUAUGCCCAAUGCCUCGCAGUCGCUCUCCGAAUCGUGGCUGCAGGCCUCAUUCAGCUCCCCCGCACGGCACGACUGCACCGCCGUCAUCUGCGCCGUCCGCAGAAGCAUGUUGUCAGCCCCGCUCGUGAAGCCAUCAUCGCGUCGCACGAGUUCACAACCUCACGCGAACUCGCGACGUCCCCCGUUGCCUCCGUCGCGCCGACACCACUCUGAAUCUCGCUCUUCGCCAUCGACAUCCCCACCUUCCUUUCUCGUUCAUCACGACCUCUGACGCGCUCUUUCGUCAGCAGCAUCAGUAGUCUCGGAUUUCGCCUCUUAUCUACCUCGCUCUCUUCAGCGGGGGGAAGCAUUGUCUCAGGAACUCCUUGAAGUCGCUCACUGGAAUAGUUAUUUGGAGAUAUCGAGGAUCAAUGCCCGAGCUCUUUGUGCUAUUUUAGUCCACAUGAACGAAGGGGAAGCAAUGAACUCGCUCUCGCCGUCGAGGUCGAUGAUCGAUAUUUGAGAGUUGCAGUUAGCAUUGGCGUGGUACUUCAUGAAUCCAUUGCCAGUGAAGUUCGUGACGAGGAACCGAACGCUCGCCGUUAUAUUCGGCGAGAGUGAUUAGAGGGGGAUCAGAAUGUCGUGAAGUCGUGGAAGAGAUUUCCGACGAACCCGCCCGUCGAAGAAGACGAUCGCCGGGACUUCCGUGCCUGGAAGUGCAGAAGGGAUCUGAUCAUUUGCCGGAGAAGAAUUAUGUGAGUUCUUGAUUGAGUCCAUGGUGUUCUGCUCGCCACUUUUCGCGCGUACGGCCUGAUCUUGUAUGAUGGAUGAGAGGUGUUGUUGUUGUUGUCGAAGGCCGCCGAGAUGAUGACCAAAACGCGACAAUUUGAUAUCGCGUGGUCGCCAGGUAACAAGUGUCAGAUCUUUGUUUGGCGAGUAGUCGCAAACCGAUUUUGUUCUUUGGAUUUAAACAUCUGUGUUUGACAGAGAACUGUAUAUUAGAAUAUAUGUGAUGGAUAAAAUACACAACACAAUUCUUUUUUCGGCUUAAUGAAGACAGCAGGUAGGCUUGCUACUUUUAUAUUCUCAAAGAAAAAAAAAAGAAGAAGAUAAAUAACCAUCUUUUGUAAAGCUGAUUCUAAUUGAUACAAAAAAUUAUCUAAUAUAUCACCCUUUUUUCCCAUUUUUGUUUAUUAAGGCUAUUGACAAAAGGUAAUUUUUUCUUGUAUCUACCAAAUGCAUAAGCUUAGAUAUCUUUAAAUAUACUUGGGGCAUGAUAUAUAGCAUUGAAUAUAUAUGGAUGCAGGCAGAACCUAUUAUAUACGUACCCUUGGGGUUGAUUUUUUUUUUUUUUGAGAGGAUAGGUAGUACGCGCUACCCGCUUGUUAUUUUAUUAGAAAUAAACUUAGCGUAGAAAUGAAUCAUUAGGAUUCGAACUUGGGUCUCAGGGUACCAACGCAAGCCUUGCCACUUGCCUAAGGGACCGGUCGGUCUGGGUGAUUCUUGCUCCUUAUUUUUGUCUCAUGGGACAGGCUCAUUAGAGCAACAACAAAAUCCUUUUUCUUUGGCUUCUCCUUCGUACCAAUGUUGACUCGAAAGAUUGAUCUUAUGAAAGGAGCAUAGAAAUUUUUUCAUUUAACAUUCCACUUACGUGCACGCUGGAUAUAAAAGGUAUAUAGAGGUGAAAAUUUUCACACCGUUAAUUAAAUAUUAAGUGCGGAAUUGAAUCCGUGAUUCCCCGCUAAAUAUUUAAAGUGGGGAUUGAUUUCACGGACCUUAAGAAUGAAGGAAGUUUAAAUAGUUCUGACAUCAUGUUCAAUAAAAUAUAAUCAACUUUAGUUCCAAAGCUAAAUAUUUAUAUUGACUAUUCCUCGGCUCAUGAGUUUGGGCACAGAAUAUUUUUCAAUAGCCCAAGGUGUGGACUUUGAAUUAAAUGAGAAAAAAGUUGUAAAUAUUAAGAGCUGACGAAACUUCAAACUCAGAGCCUCCCAGUUGAUACCAUAUUUAAAUUAAAUGAAAUAACCGUUGUUCUAGGUCAAAAUCUUUAGCUUUUGAAAAUAACGAUUGUUUCGUAUUAUUUAACACAGAUAAAGAAAAGGUUAUUACAUUCGUAUAUGCGCUAGGAUUUUCUACCUUUGAUGGUUGUCUGCUUUCUUAUCUCUAUCUCCAGACUCUUAGACGCAACAAUCUUCUUUUUUCUGCUUUCUCCUUCGCAUUACGAAUGAACAUCGCCAUUUUGAAUUCUGAAAUUUCAUAAUGCACUGCAACAAAUUUAAUCACAUUUUUUUCUCUCGCAAAAAGAAAAAUAGUUUGUUUGACGCUUCGUACGUCGCCACAAAUUUCCACUGACACAUGCAAAGUCGAAAACAUGUUCUUAGUUAUAUAAAAGGUACAAUUGCCACCGGCGCUAUACCUCGCGGGCUAUGCCAUUUCCAUCCUCCUUGGCUUCGAUCGUAGAUCUUAUCUGCGAUAUGAAUUUACAGUUUACCGAACGUAAUUCGCUCUAAAAUCCAUCUUUUUGUGAGAACGAAUAAUAGAUAGUCCUUUUAAAAACCUAGGUUUAGCAUCUAUGAGGAAACCAUGGGUGCUAGCUUCAAUGUGAGCUAGAUCCAUCAUCUCUAAACUCAUUAGGUUCCGUUUGAACCAAUAAAAGCAACAAAACCCAUCAAACCCUAGAAAUCCAAAACUAGGGUUAGAGCUUACCUCUAGGAUUUGCUCCAAAAUAAACUUUAGCUUGAUGGAGAGGAGGGAGAAGAGCUUCUUAGUCUUCUCCUUGAUCUUCUCCUUCCUUUCUCUCCUUAUCUUCUUCUUCUUUCUUCCUCUUUUCUUCUUCUCCUUCUUUUUCUCCUUCAACCGGUUAGAGAGAGAGAGAGGGAGCUAGAGAGAGAGAGAGGCUGUGAGAGUGGGAGAGGGCACAGCUGAGGAUAGGAGGGUUAAGUCCUCUAUUGUAACAAUGUGCUAAAAAGCCCUCCAUUUAUCAGAUUUUGCAACUUAACCCGCUACCUGCGCGCCCUUGUACCGGUACACGGGACCUUGUACCGGUACAAGGCCUUAUACCGAGCGCAAAUCGAGCCUCGGGUUUCUGUGUUUCGCAGAGCUUGUACCGGUACAAGCCAGCCUUGUACCGGUACAGCGCCUGAAGCCUUCGAACCCGAGAGCUACGCAGCCUGGCUGCGAUGGCUGUACCGGCACAGCCAUCACCCUUGUACCGGUACAGCAGCUCCAGAAUGCUGUUUUAACUUCGUUUCGGCUCCACUUCGCGCCGAUCGAUGUCCAAGCUAUUCCAACGCCUUUAGAACUCAUUUUUGCUCUUCCAAAUUGUUGGAAUACCGAAUGGAACUUGUCCAAAUCGUUCAAUCGCCCACUUUGAUCCAUUUGGCCAAAGUUAGCCAAUAUCGUCGAAAUUCGAUAUCUCACAUUCUCCACCCCUUAAAAGGAGUUUCGUCCUCGAAACAACUCAACUCUUAAAUCGAACUUAAACUCUUACCUCAAUCCUUGAACAAGUGAGGAUGAUUCGCUUUCAUCCGGUCCUCGAGUUCCCAAGUGGCUUCGCGAUCGUCGUGAUUGCUCCACCGGACUUUAACAUAGGAAAUUUCUCGAUUCCUUAGCUUACGCACCUCUCGAGCCAAAAUCUCUACCGGAAACUCUUCAUAGCUCAAAUCAUCUUGAAGUUCCGGCGGCUCAUAAAGCAUCGCAUGCUCGGGGUCGUAAAUAUACUUGCGAAGAUUGGAGACGUGGAACACAUUGUGCACACCCGCAAGCUUUGGGGGCAAUGCAAGUCGAUACGCCACCGUCCCAAUUCGCUCCAAAAUCUCGUAGGGGCCAAUGUAACGAGGACUCAACUUUCCUCGUACCCCAAAUCGUUUCACGCCUCGCAUCGGCGAAACCUUCAAGAAUACGCGGUCACCCACCGCGAACUCCAAAUCUCGCCGGCGUCUAUCCGCAUAGCUUUGCUGUCUCGACUGCGCCGUAAGCAAUCUCUUGCGAGCAAGGCGGACUUUCUCUUCCACUUCUCGCAACACAUCCAGGCCGAACUCCGCACGCUCACCUACAUCGCUCCAGUGUAUAGGAGAUCGACAUAUCCGUCCAUAGAGGACCUCAAACGGUGCCAUCUCCACACUAGCAUGAUAACUAUUAUUGUAGGCGAACUCGGCCAUCGUUAGGUGGUCACACCAACUUUCUUUAUAGUCAAUGACACACGCUCGCAACAUAUCCUCCAGAGUUUGAAUGGUUCUCUCCGUUUGCCCAUCGGUCUGGGGAUGAAAUGCGGUGCUAAAGUCCAGCCGUGUGCCAAGGGCUUCCUGCAGGCUCUUCCAAAAAUGCGAAGUGAAUCGGGGGUCACGAUCCGACACGAUAGUUUUCGGCACCCCAUGCAGUCUCACUACCUCGUCAAGGUAUACCUGCGCUAACUUGUCACCCGACCACGUGGUAUGGAUCGGUAAGAAGUGAGCCGACUUCGUCAAUCGGUCCACAAUUACCCAAAUUGCAUCGUGGCCGCCCUUUAAGCAGGGUAAGCCGACCACGAAGUCCAUCGAUAUAUCCUCCCAUUUUCAAACGGGGAUUGGUAGGCUUUGAAGCUUUCCCGCUGGAAAUCGAUGCUCGGCCUUCACUUGUUGGCAUGCAAGGCACUUCGCCACAAAGCGCCCGAUGUCAGCUUUCAUUCCCGGCCACCAGUAGUGCAUUUUUAGGCCUUGGUACAUCUUGGUGCCGCCCGGGUGACCACCAUACGGGGACCAAUGCGACUCCUGGAGUAUAAGCUUGCGAAGCUCCCCAUUAGCGGGUACACACCUCCGAUUCCGAAACCGAAGCGUACCAUCGACGUCUACAUUGAACUCGCCGCCAUGACCUUCCUCGAUGUUUCGCCGCACCUUUUGGAGUUCUGGGUCCACAAGUUGCAGAUCUUUGAUCCUCUCCAACAAGGUCGGUUGGACAACGAGUGCCAUCAACUGAAUCGGGACCUCGGGAGCAACCACUUCAAGGUCCAAUCGCUCCAUAUCCAGCCCUAGGGGUUUUUGCUGGGUAACAUCAAAAGCGAGGUUCUUCGCCGUCUUCCUACUCAGCGCAUCCGCGACCACAUUAGCCUUCCCGGGGUGGUAAAGGAUAUCAACGUCAUAAUCCUUCAAUAGCUCCAACCACCGCCGCUGACGCAUAUUGAGCUCUUUCUGUGUGAACAGAUACUUCAAGCUCUUAUGGUCGGUGUAGAUCUCGCAAUGAGCACCAUAUAAAUAAUGUCUCCAAAGCUUUAAGGCAAAGAUUACCGCCGCCAACUCUAGGUCGUGAAUGGGGUAAUUCUUUUCAUAGCUCUUAAGCUGACGAGAUGCAUAAGCGAUAACCUUCCCGCCCUGCAUCAGCACACACCCCAAGCCCAGAUAAGAAGCAUCACUGUAGACGACGUAGUCCUGCCCUUGCACCAGUAAGGCGAGUACCGGAGUCAAAGUUAACCUCUGCUUCAACUCUUUAAAGCUCCGGUCACACUCGUCACUCCAAACGAACUUGGUGCCUUUUUGCGUCAAACGGGUAAGUGGAGUCACAAUCUUAGAGAACCCCUCCACAAACCGUCGAUAAUAACUGGCUAGGCCCACAAAACUACGGACCUCGGUAACAUUCGUCGGCCGCGGCCAAUUCUCAAUAGCCUCCACUUUCCUCGGGUCAACUAAAACUCCACCCUCGGAAAUAACAUGCCCGAGAAACGCAACCUCUCGAAGCCAAAAGUCGCAUUUCUUCAGCUUUGCGUACAAUGUCUUCUCCCGAAGAAUCUGAAGUACUGCGCGCAAAUGCUCCGCGUGCUCCUCGUCGCUACGCGAAUAUACCAAAAUAUCGUCUAUGAAGGCUACGACAAAUCGGUCCAAGCACCCCUGGAACACUCGGUUCAUCAAGCUCAUAACGCUGCCGGGGCAAUCGUGAGCCCAAAUGGCAUCACCGUGAACUCGUAGUGUCCAUAACGCGUGCGGAACGUCGUCUUCUGAACAUCUUCCGGCUUGAUCUUUAACUGGUGAUAGCCGGACUGAAGGUCGAUCUUAGAAUACACUCGCGACCCCUACAACUGAUCAAACAAGUCAUCAAUACGGGGUAGCGGGUACUUGUUCUUCCCCGUGACCUUGUUCAACUAGCGGUAAUCCACGCAGAGUCGAAAUGACCGAUCUUUCUUGCGCACAAAUAAUACCGGGGCACCCCACGGCGAAACACUCAGCCUAAUGAAUUCCUUGUCGAGAAGAUCCUGCAAUUGAUCUCUCAACUCCCUUAGCUCGGCCGGCGCCAUGCGAUACGGGGCCUCAGAAAUCGGCGCUGUCCCAGGAACCAAGUCGAUCAUGAACUCGAUCUCCCGGUCUGGCGGCAUACCCGGUAACUCCGCGGGAAAAACGUCGGGGAACUCCCGCACAACCGCCAACUCCUCGAGGAUUGGAACUGCUCGGUCAAUCUCCACAACGGUCGCCAAAUAAGCGAUGCAACCGCUGUUCACCAGCUUCCUCGCUCUAGUCGCCGAUACCAUCGCGGCGAAACACGAGCUCUUACAAGCUCAAUAGGUAAACUCUUCCUGUCCCGGCUCCCGAAAUGUAAUAACUCGAGUCGGGCAAUCGAUCGAUACAUAGUACUUCGAGAGCCAAUCCAUGCCCAAUAUGACAUCGAAUUCCUUCAACUUCUUGAGCACCAACAAGUUGAUCGGCAUAACCCAGUCAUUCACUCGCACUGGACAUGCCAAGCAUCACUUCCUAAUCAGAAAGGAUCACCCGGGGCCCUCAACAUGUCAAACGUGCUCCCCAAGACGAUACUCAAUAUCAUGCGCUCGUGCAAAUGAUCGACUAAUGAAUGAGUGUGAUGCACCUGUAUCAAACAAAGCUCUAGCUCGAACAUCUUUAACCAAAAUUAUACCUGCCACAACAUUGCGCUCGCCGGCCUCUGAAGGCUCCUCAAUGUGAGCGGGUGCAGCAUACAUCCUUCCGCUCGGCGCAGAUCGUGCAGGCUCUGGUUGGCGUGGCGCCGCCGCUCGCCCAGUAGAUGCUGCAGGAGAGGGCAGAGCAUAGCGAGCUGGAACCGCCGGGGCCGAUGCAGUCGACAUAGCGGGCGAAGCUUCUCCCUGAGGACAGUCGCAAAUCUGAUGUCCCGCUUGCCCGCACUUGAAGCACCUCCCUCGGCGCUACUCACAAACACCCGGCCGGUGGUCUCCGCCGCAGAAGACGCAUCGCUGAGCACCACGACCCUUGGGCUGUGAGCGUUGAUACUUCGGGGGCCUCCUGGAGCUCGACUAGCCACCCGAUCCACCGCCCUGUCUUUUCUUGCCUUUAUCCUUGUCAAACGCCUCACGGUCCUCACGCUCGCAAGCGUUCUCGUGCUCGACCCAUAGCGCGAGAUCUAGUGCUCCCGCCAAAGUGUGGAACUUGAAGGCAUGCACCAACUUGAACACUCCGGGCCGAAGACCUCGAACGAAGCAAUCCGCCCGGUCUUGCUCUGUCGCCGCUACAUCCGGGACGCAGCUCAGGAGAUGGGUGAACUCCCGCUCGUACUCCCGAACUGUGCAGUUGCCUUGCUUGAGCUUGCGGAAAUCUUCCCGCAUCUUCCUCUUAUCACUGUCGGGGACGUACUCGGCGAACAUCAGCUUGCGGAACUCCGCCCAAUCGAUCGGGGGAAGCUCCAGGGAUCGGUCCUGCUUGACCCUCCACCACCAAGUCUUGGCCCGCUUCUCAAAGCAAUGCGCGGCCAAGUUCACCUUGUCCUUCUCCAAGGUGAAAAUGUCCUCAAAUAGGGUCUCCAUAGUCGUCAGCCAAGACUCCACCGCAGCUGGAUCCACCACCUCUCCGUCGAAAGUAGGCGGGCGAAACUUCGUGAACCUCGUGAGCGCCACGUAGCCUCGCUCACGCUCCGCCUCCUCAGCCGCCACCGCGGGGGUAGGAGAACUCGAACUAACCGGAGGAAUAUCCACCGGUGGGGGUUGCGCCGCCACCGGAACCGAAAUGCCACCCACACCCUCGGCCGCAUCAGGGGCGCGAAUCGAAGGCGCAGGCGGACCGCGGCCUGGAUCCGCUGCCGCAGCCGCCGCCGCAGCCUGCUGCUCCAGCAGCUCCUGAAUCCUAUCGAAUCGUCCAGUGAGCGCCACAACAUGCGCUCGCAACUCCUGCACCUCAGUAGGCCCAGCUGGCACUGGCGCCACUGGAGGCACGGCUGUCUCGGGCACCUCUCGAGGUGGUGCCGGAGCGGUCCUACGCACGUAGCGUCUCUUUGGUGCCAUAGCUCCUGAAACGCAAACCGUUGGUUAAUUACUUAACUCGACAACAUCGUCGUAAACACGAAGUAUAACGAUUAAACAACAUCAAUCAGGCGGUAGCUUGCAAGUGUCUUAGUUCUCGACUCUCGGCAUCGUGUUGUCGGCCGCCAACACAAUCACCUUAAGUCAAAAAUUAAUACCACUUGGAUCAUCUCUAGCCAUAACUAGAGUCUCAACAACUCCAAACCCAAUCAUUUAGCUUCCGCCGCGUCAUAGAUUCACGUCGCACUCACGCACCUAUAACCUUAGGGUUAACCAACCUAGAGUCUCCUAGGUCAUCCUAGACUCUCUCUUUUGCUUGCUCUUAACUCGCUCUGAUACCACUAAACUGUCACGUCCCUGACCGCACCACCCGAAAACGGUACCAAUUUGGUCCGGUUCGGGGGCGGCGGGCGCGACCGCCGGACGGACGGAGUUUCCCCUGUCCGCCGAAGGCUAAGCAACAGAUUGUGUACAACAAGUCCCCAGGAAUACAACUUGAAUACAUACACAAUCAAACAACGAUAAUCGAGAGCACAAACAGUGCUACGACCAACUAGAGCAAGCGAUACCAGUAAAACCAUACAAGUUUAUACAAAGAGAGCAACUUAGCUAUUUGAGACAUCAUUGAAACAUUAACCUCUUUCGAUUUCAUUUAACUUUAAACAUUUGAUACAACUUGCGUUCUUUAUCCAAAAUGAAUAUAAAUCAUAAGCUCUCCAAAUCUCACUCUAUACAAAAACUACUCUCAAAUGUAUAACCAAAAGUACGGUAGAGCUAAUGCAAGUAGGAAGGUAAAGCAAUCAACAACUGCUAGGGCGCUAUGCCCUUGCGCGCAUCAUCGACGAAGGCCCGCUGUCCUGUAUACCUGUACCCCCAGAGCCACACGGGGUGAGAACUACAUAGUUCCCAGUGGGUUCGGCCGCGACUCCGCCGAUCUAACCACUAGGUCUCAAGUAGGCAUAGAGAAUAUAUACUGCAAUAUAUAUAUAAAACAAAGUUGACGGGAAAGCGAGUAUGUAAAACUAAUCAAGCUAUGACCUCAAUCUGGAAUCAUGAAUGCAUGAACAAUAAACAAAGCUGUGGUAAAUAAGCAACUAUCAACAUACUACAACAGCUAUCAUAGUAACUAUAAACAUGCUACUAGGUAAGCAGUAAGCUGAUAUGAACAAUGAAUAGCUUACUAUGACAUCAAUAAUGGGUAAGACUCAAUGGGUAACCCAAUCUCCAAAUGAACACAAGGUUCACAAGCAAGGCUCACAUAUGCAAUCUCCUAGGGAUGUCGAGCUGGACUAUCCCCGAGUACGCCUGCGGAUAACAAGCGGCUAUCCGAGCAGCAAGCAGGGCUGCUCUCUAGUGACCAAAUCUCCGGAGCGCACAACUUGAGGGAGCGACCCACCAAGCCAGACAGGCAAUUGAGCCAAGAUUCAUCACGAGCAACAAACAACAACCCUUUGAGGGAAUAUCAUCAUGGAAGCGAGGGUAUACAUGUACCCAAUCUCAUGGUGUCUCAACUACACUAAUGUGAUCAUCAAGGAAACAUCAACAAUGUCAUUCAUCAUGUUUUUCUAACAGAUGCCACUUGUUCAUAGUUUUCUUAACUAGAUGCACUCGGCUCAAUUUGACUCAUUAUCAACACUAGUUUCCUCAUACUAGUUCUUAGCAACAUAAGCAUUAACAUUUCAUAUAGGGUCUAGAUUUUCAUCAAGCAACCUCAUGCAUACUAGAUCUAAAACCAACCAAGCAAUAUAUAUAUUAUUGAACUAAUAGUAUGCAAGUAUAAGCACAAUAAUCAUUUUCAACCCUAUAUGUAUUAUGCACAAUAUGCAAAUGAUCAAUUAAACUUAGACAUAGGAAGGUGGCGAUGACUUCGGGAUGGCACUCCCCCACCUUGGGUGAUGCGCAAACACUCCGAGACCGGCUUCUCGUGCUAGUCUUGUCGCCGCUUAAUUUUCGUUGGUUAACUUUAACCCUUUAGCGACUCGAAUAGACGGAUAUCUUCGCGCCCACUCGUCGGAUCGACGAACGUCUGCCUACGCGUUUUAUAAGCAUAAGAAAUUAGGUUUCUAACCCCUCAAAAGAGAUCAAUCCCUCACAUUUUCAAAAUCCCCAAAAUUUAACCCUAGGUUGGGAUCCAUGAGAGGUUAUGGAUUAUAGUUCAAUGUGAGCUAAUCCAUGUUCUCUAAGCUAUUAGGUUCCAUUUGAACCAUCAAAAGCAACAAAAACCAUAAAACCUAGAAAUCACAAGUUACCAUGAAAGGGGUUGGAGGCUUACUCUAGGGUUUGCUCCAAAGCAAGCCCUAGGCCAAAAACGAGAUGAGAAGGGCUUCAAAACUCUUCUCUCUUCUCCUUCCUUUCUCCUCUCUUUUCUCUCUUUUCUUCUUCUUUUCUCCAACGGUUAGAGAGAGAGAGAGAGCUUAGAGAGAGAGAGGGGCUGUGGGGAGUGAGAGAGGAGAGAGCUGAGGGCAUGAGGGUUAAGUCCUCUAUUGUAACAAAAUGCUAAAAAGCCCUCAUUUUAUCAGAUUUUGCAACUUAACCCGCUGCUGCGCGCUCGUGUACCGGUACACGGGUUUGCGUACCGGUACGCGCCCUGCGUAACGGCCAAACCCGAGAGCAAACCCGAGGGCUGCGCAGCCUGGCAGCAAUGGCUGUACCGGUACAGCCAUCAUGCGUGUACCGGUACACCAGCUCCAGAAAGCUGUUUUCAGCCUCGCUUCGGCUCCACUUCGCGCCAAUCGACGUCAAACCCAUUCCAACACCUUUGGAACUCAUUUUAGCUCUUCCAAACUCGUUGGAAUACCGAAUGGGACUUGUCCCAACUUCCGAUCGCUCACUUUGGUCCAUUGUGCCAAAGUUAGCCGUUUUCGUCGAAUUUCGAUAUCUUACACCCGUACUACCCAGACUAUCACCGGUUAAGCAACUUGAUAGAGGCCAAACCUGAGAGCUGGCUUCUAGGGUGGCCUGCCUGGUACCGGUACUGCCCUGGUGCUUCACUGGUUAAGUAGUGCCCAGACUGCAGUUUGGGCAGUGUUUGGCUCCAAUUCGCGCCGAGCAAUGCUAAAACUCUUCAAUCGCAUUCGAAAUUUAACUCUAACCCCUCCAACACUGUUGGAGUGUCAAUUGGACUUUGUCCAACCAUUUCUCUCACCAAAUUUUGGUCAAUUUGACUAAAGUUCGAUAUAGCCUACCGAGGUUUCGAUAUAUUACAUUCUCCACUGCUUAAAAAUAGUUUUGUCCGUGAAACUAAACACAUACCUUAGCUUGUCGACUCGAAUAAGUGAGGAUACAUCUUUCGCAUUGUCUCCUCAAGCUCCCAAGUGGCUUCACGCACUGCAUGAUUGCUCCACUGGACUUUAACGUAGGGGAUUGUGCGACUUCGCAACCUCCUUUCUUCUCUACCGAGGAUACACACCGGGUACUCCUCAUAGGUCAUGUCCUCGCGUAACUCCACGGGCUCAUACUCUACCACGUGAGUCGAAUUGCGGAUAUACUUGCGGAGAUUCGACACGUGAAACACAUUGUGAACUCCCGCAAGCCUCGGUGGUAAUGCAAGCUUGUAUGCCACCGCACCGACCAGCUCCAAUAUCUCGAACGGUCCAACAUACCGGGGACUUAGCUUCCCAUGGACCCCAAAUCAUUUUACACCUCGCAUAGGUGAUACUUUCAAGAACACGCGGUCUCCAACCGCGAACUCUAAAUCUUUUCUAUGUUUGUUGGCAUAGGUUUGCUGUCUUGAUUGCGCCGUCGCAAGCCGUUGACGAGCAAGGCGAACUUUCUCUUCCGCCUCUCGCAACACAUUGGGACCAAGAGUAACUCUCUUACCCACUUCGCUCCAAUGGAUAGGAGAACGACACUUCUUUCCAUACAAAGCUUCAAAUGGCGCCAUCGCGAUGCUUUCUUGAUAGCUAUUAUUGUACGCGAAUUCUGCCAUCGGCAAAUAAUCGUGCCAUCCGCCCUUGUAAUCAAGUACACACGCUCGAAGCAUGUCCUCAAGGAUUUGUAUUGUCCUUUCUGAUUGACCGCCACUUUGAGGAUAGAAUGUCGUAAGUUGAGCCAUGUGCCCAAAGCGUCUUGCAAGCUCCUCCAAAAAUAAGAUGUGAACCUAGGGUCUCGGUCCGAUACUAUAGACACCAGAACCCUAUGAAGUCUCACAACCUCGUCAAGAUAUACUUAAGAUAACUUAUCUCCGGACCAUGUAGUGUAGAUCGGCAAGAAGUGUGCCGAUUUCGUCAAUCGAUCCACUAUUACCUAAAUUGCAUAGUGUCUGCCUUGAGAUCGAGGCAAACCGAUCACAAAAUCCAUUGCGAUGUCCUCUCAUUUCCAAACGGGUAUUGAUAGACUUUGCAACUUUCCCGCCGAAAACCGGCGCUCCACUUUUACUUGUUGGCACGUAAGACAUUGCGCUACGAACUCCCCAAUAUCUCUUUUCAUGCCCGGCCACCAAUAAUGCACUUUUAGGUCUUGGUACAUCCUUGUGCCCCCCGGGUGAAUACUAUAGGGAGAUUGAUGCGCCUCUUGCAUAAUCGCCUUUCGAAUGUCCUCAUUUUUAGGCACACACCAACGAUUUCGGAAUCGAAGUACGCCAUCGGUCCCAAUGCCAAAAUCAUCGGCACUACCGUUUUUAACUUCACCAUGCACCUUUUGAAGAUAUGCAUCAAAAGCUUGUUGCUCUUUAAUCUUCUCCAAUAAGGUUGGUCGCACAACCAAUGUAGCAAGAGUAGCCGGCACUCCCAGAGCUACCACUUCAAGACCAAACAGUUGCAUCUCUUUUUGCAAUAAUGGUUGGGGUGUAAUUGCCGUAGCCAAGUUUUUCACCGAUUUUCUACUUAGAGCAUCGGCCACGACAUUUGCUCUUCCGGGGUGGUAUAGAAUAGUGAUGUCGUAGUCCUUUAGUAACUCUAAUCACCGCCGCUGUCGCAUAUUUAAUUCUUUUUCGGUGAACAAGUAUUUAAGACUCUUGUGAUCUGUGUAGAUCUCACAAUGCUCACCGUACAAGUAAUGCCUCCACAACUUUAGCGUGAAAAUCACCGCGGCUAGCUCAAGGUCAUGAAUUGGAUAGUUCUUUUCAUAACUCUUCAAUUGACGAGAAGUAUAAGCUAUAACUCGACCAUUUUGCAUCAAGACACACUCGAGACCAAUAUAUGAAGCAUCACUGUACACUACAAAGCUCUCCCCCGGAGUCUGUAGAGCAAGCACCGGGGUCUAUGUCAAUCUUUCCUUUAAUUCCUCGAAGCUCCGAUCGCAAUCGUCGCUCCAAACGUACUUCACCCCUUUGUGCGUAAGGAGCGUUAGUGGAGUAGUUAUUUUAGCAAACCCCUCCACGAACCGCCGAUAGUAUCCCGCAAGUCCAAGAAAGCUACGGAUCUCCACAACACGGGCGAGGCCAAUCCCUAAUUGCCUCGACUUUCUUCGGAUCCACCGAGACGCCGCUCCGGGAUAUCACAUGGCCUAGGAAGGUAACCUCCGAAAGCCAAAAAUCACAUUUCUUUAGCUUGGCAUAAAGCUUCUCUUUUCGAAGUAUUUGCAACACGGUUCUCAAAUGCUACUUGUGUUCCUCCUCGCUCCGAGAAUAAACCAACACGUCGUCAUGAACACCACGACGCAUCGAUCCAAUAACGGUCGAAAGACUCGAUUCACCAAGUCCAUAAAUGCUGUCGGGGCAUUAGUAAGCCCAAACGACAUUACCGUGAACUCGUAGUGGCCAUACCGCGUACGAUACACCGUUUUGUGCACAUCCUUCGGCCUGAUCUUCAACUGAUGAUACCCCGACUGAAGAUCAAUCUUUGAGUAUACCCGCAACCCUUUCAACUGGUCGAAUAGAUCAUCAAUCCUCGGUAACGGGUACUUGUUCUUGAUUGUCACUUUGUUCAACUCGCGAUAAUCCACGUAGAGUCGAAGUAUGACAUCCUUUUUCUUCACAAAUAGCACCGGAGCUCCCCACGGUGAUACGCUCGGCCUCACAAAGCCUUUAUCGAGCAAGUCUUGCAAUUGGGUUUUUAGCUCUACUAGCUCCGCCGGUGCCAUUCUAUACGGAGCCUUCGAAAUUGGCGCUGCCCCGGGAACCAAGUCAAUGCCGAACUCAAUCUCCCGGUCUGGUAGCAAUCCUGUAGCUCCGCCGGAAAUACAUCCGGAAAUUCACAUGCUACCCGAAUGUUCCCAAGUUCCGGGAGCUCCCUUUGAGUCUCUACCAUUGUCGCCAAAUAGGCCACACAUCCACCUUUAAUCAUCUUCCUCGCCCUCGCCGCCGAUACUGUCGCCGCGAAACGCGAGCUUUUACAUGCGCGAUACACUAACUCCUCUUGGUUAGGCUCACGAAAAGUGAUCACCUUGCUCUCGCAGUCGAUAACCGCAGAGUAUUUGGAGAGCCAAUCGAUCCCCAAAAUUACAUCGAAGUCCCACAUUUGGUUUAGGACUAGCAAGCCUCCCGGCAUAAUCCAAUUACCUAUCUGAACCAGACACGCCGCGCACUCCACGUGAAUACUAAAUGAAUGCUCUGGUGCAUUAACCCACCAAUAAUCCGGGCUAUACAACACCUCGAUGCCAUGAGUUUUUUCAAAUGAUGCACCAAUGAAUGAAUGAGAUGCGCCUAUGUCAAAUAAAGCUCUAGCUCUAGUACCAUUGAUCAAAAUAAUACCUGCCACGACAUCAUCUGAAACGGCAGGCUCCUCCACCUGAGUGGCGAAAACCCGUCCACUCGGUGCUCGAGAUCCCUUCGUCUGACGCGGUGCUGAUGAGCGUCCCGCCGACAUAGGAGGUGGCAACCCCGCAAGCUGCCUCGGGGUAGAAGGAACUGAUGCCGCCGUCAGAGCAGAUGACGCCCAACUCGGGCACUCCCGAAUCAUAUGCCCAACUUGGCCGCACUUGAAGCACUUUCCCACGCGCUGUGGGCAAGCCGAUGGUCGAUGCUCACCGCCGCAAAUGAUACAUCAGGUAGGCCUCCAAUUUCUUGACUGCUGUCGGGGAUAUCGAGGGGGUUUUUUAGCAUUCGGCCGGUCCCCGUCACCACUCGCCGCCCGUUUCUUUCCUUUGUCCUUAGACUCGGCCAUAGACUCGCGCUCCUCUCGUGCAUAAGCAUUGCCGUGCUCCGCCCAUAAUGCUCUAUGAAAGAUCUCCACAAGGGUCGUAAGCUUAAAGAUUUGCACUAGGACGCAGUCAAUAAUGUGGGAAACUCCUGCUCAAAGUCUCCCAUUGAACGGUCUCCUUGCUUCAACUUGUGAAACCUGUCCUGUAGCUUUCGUUUCACUGUAUCGGGGAAAUAGUUCACGAACAUCAACCUCCGGAACUCCUCCCAAAGCAUAGGCGGAAGGUCAGAAGAUCGGUCACGCUUUACCCGUUUUCACCACACCUUCGCCGCCUUCUUCAAACAGUGAGUGGCGAGGUGCACUUUAUCCUUCUCCUAGGUAUAUAUAUCCUCGAAGAGUGCUUCCAUCGCAUCGAUCCAUGACUCCACCAUCGACGGCUCCACCUUUUCCCCGUCGAACGUAGGUGGGCUAAACUUCUUGGACAUAACAAGCGCCGCCAAUGCACGCUCCCGCUCCGCCUUUGUAAGGUACCGAACUUCUAAAAUCAUGAAGUUACGUUGUCCAUUUGGUUGGAGAGCCAUUUGAAUGGUUCCGGUAAAGUUGCGGUGUAAUGUAAUAUACCGGAUUUAAAUAUAAAAAUAAAAAUAAAUAAAAAUAGUAUGAGAUACUAUUUUUAUUGGAUUUGGAGAAGUAAAAUAUGAGUUAGAAAUGACUUGUGCUGAAAUUGGAAUGAAAACAGAAGAUUUAGAAUUUUCUGUGAGAGACGGGGCAGAUAAAUUAGCAGAAAAUGCACAGUCUCAGAAAAUUAUGAAAAUUGGAGGACAAGUCAGAAAUAUUUUUAUGAGGCUAGAUUUAAGGUUUCAUAUUUUUCUGACACCCGUAGAGUGAGAAAUAAAAUCCGACAGUUAUCUGAUAAAGAUUACAGUUCGGUACAGUUUUCAGUGACCAAACGGGGUCGAAACUGAAAAGUUAAGAUAUAUUCUUACUCAGUACGUUAAACUGAGUCUACCUGUCAAAUUUGAGCUCAAUCGGACAUUCAGAAGGGUUCCGAUGGAACUUAUCAGAUUUGAGGGACUAAACUGAAAAGUGGAAUAGUUGAGGGGGCUGCUUGUGGAAAAGAGCAUUGCUCUUCUUCUCCUCCCUCAACCUGCGUACACAACCAGCCCCAAACCGACACACCCACACACGCAUGGAUAGGAGAAGAGAACCCUCUCUUUCUCUCUCUAAAUCUCUCCCAAAAUUAAGGGAAUUAGUGGAGAUUGAAGCUUGGAGGUGAAUCGUCAUCAUCUUCUUCAUCUUCUCCAUGGAUUGAAGCUAGUUUUGAGGUAAGCUUUUGCUACCCUUUAAUGGUAGAUCUCUAGAUAUGGGGUUUUGAUCUCUAGAAAUGGAUUUAGAGCUAUUCUAGCAUGCUAAAUAGACACUUGAAUACCGUAUAGCCACAUGGAAUUGUGGACAAUACUCUUUUGAGAAUUGGAAGUCGAGAUAUGCCGGGGUAGGCCAUCUCGUGGUAGAGCAAGGUCCGAAUAUGGUUAGAACACUCGCGAUUGGGUGAUGCACCAAUGAUAUUGCUUUUGAGCAAUGUUGGUAGUCGAAUCGCAAUGCCCCGAGGGGGGAAAAGCAAAUGCAAAGAAGAGUUCUUGCAUGCCGAAUGGUGAGUGAUGUUGGAACGCGUAGAGUCGUUGAGCUUCGACUUGCGUAACCACCAAGAAUGACGGAGACCCGUAAUGCACUUUCGGAGUUACGCUUAGCGAAUGUGAGUGAAUCUGGUCUCACAUCCUCCUUAAUGGACCUCUAAGUUGUUCCAAUAAGUGAAAGACCGCUCCGAGAUGCGAAAGUGCAUUGGAACCCUCGAUUACUCGAUGAGUUAAAUUGAGGUGUGAGUUGGAGAUGGAGUUGAUUGAGUUUCGAGGACGAAACUCUUAUUAAGGAGGGGAGAAUGUAAGGUACCGAACUUCUAAAAUUAUGAAGUUACGUUGUCCAUUUGGUUGGAGAGCCAUUUGAAUGGUUCCGGUAAGGUUGCGGUGUAAUGUAAUAUACCGGAUUUAAAUAUAAAAAUAAAAAUAAAUAAAAAUAGUAUGAGAUACUAUUUUUAUUGGAUUUGGAGAAGUGAAAUAUGAGUUAGAAAUGACUUGUGCUGAAAUCGGAAUGAAAACAGAAGAUUUAGAAUUUUCUGUGAGAGACGGGGCAGAUAAAUUAGCAGAAAAUGCACAGUCUCAGAAAAUUAUGAAAAUUGGAGGACAAGUCAGAAAUAUUUUUAUGAGGCUAGAUUUAAGGUUUCAUAUUUUUCUGACACCCGUAGAGUGAGAAAUAAAAUCCGACAGUUAUCUGAUAAAGAUUACAGUUCGGUACAGUUUUCAGUGACCAAACGGGGUCGAAACUGAAAAGUUAAGAUAUAUUCUUACUCAGUACGUUAAACUGAGUCUGCCUGUCAAAUUUGAGCUCAAUCGGACAUUCAGAAGGGUUCCGAUGGAACUUAUCAGAUUUGAGGGACUAAACUGAAAAGUGGAAUAGUUGAGGGGGCUGCUUGUGGAAAAGAGCAUUGCUCUUCUUCUCCUCCCUCAACCUGCGUACACAACCAGCCCCAAACCGACACACCCACACACGCAUGGAUAGGAGAAGAGAACCCUCUCUUUCUCUCUCUAAAUCUCUCCCAAAAUUAAAGGAAUUAGUGGAGAUUGAAGCUUGGAGGUGAAUCGUCAUCAUCUUCUUCAUCUUCUCCAUGGAUUGAAGCUAGUUUUGAGGUAAGGUUUUGCUACCCUUUAAUGGUAGAUCUCUAGAUAUGGGGUUUUGAUCUCUAGAAAUGGAUUUAGAGCUAUUCUAGAAUGCUAAAUAGACGAUUGAUGCUUGAAUCAUAGAUCGAUUUAAUGAUUUAUUGCCUAGUUGUAACAUAGGGCUCUAAAAUGCAAGUUUUGCUACUAGUAGGGUUUGAUCUCAUUUAACCCUCUGUAAACCUAAUUGAUAGGUCACUGAACGCGUUGGAAGCGACGGUUCGGCGUUGGAAGCGACGGUUCGGCGAUUCGUCGAGCCGGUGCAAAGUUAUUAAAGAAACGGACGUUUAGGCUUCGUUUCCGCCUGGAGGGCCGAGGCGACGUCGUAAAAUCGUGGAAACGGAUUUGAAGCACCGUAGCGAGAAACCGAAGACCUAUAAUUUCCAGAUCGCGGAUCGGAGGUCGUUUGGUGGUCGCGCACCGAUUGGGUCGAGCCGAGCGGCGUGCGCCGCGGGAGGCCGAUUGCAAGUGACGACGAGCAAUCGGAACGCGGUAAAAGGUGGGGGAGUGCCAUCCCGAAGCAAUCGGGUUUCUCCUUAUGUCUAAGUAUUUCUAUGUUGAUCAAUUAUGCAUAUUGAGCAUGAUGCAUUAUAGGGUGAUAGUUGAUGGUUGGUUCUAUAUAUAUAUAUAUUGCAUGCUUCUUGAAAGAGUAAUGUAUUUGGCUUAGUGCUUAUAUCUAGCAUGCUUGAGGUUUAUAUAUGCGAUGUGAAACCCUAUAAGAAAUGAUAGGUGUAGAUGAGAACUUAGUAAUAUAUUGGCUAUUGCAUUGGAAACUUUAAACAUGUCAUUGAUCAAGUUGCAUAUUAUGAUGUUGCAUAUAGGGUGUUUAGAAACUUGUAUCUAUAUUUGCAUGCUAGUGGUAAUGUAGCUUGGUAGAUAUAACACUUGAAUCUAGUAUGCAUGAAGUUAGUAUGUGCACCUUAACCCUAUAUGAGAUAAUAUGUAACGGAUUGGAACCUAGGCAAAUGAUAACCUAGUGUUUGUGUUGUGUGAACGAAGAACCUAGUAAAGUGUGAACUAGAGUCUUGGAAACUUGUAAAGGACGAGUGGCAUCUAGUUAAUGUUAACCUAUGACGAGUGGCAUCUAGUUGAUAGCACAUAUGAGAACCUUAGUGUAGUUGAAACACUAGAAGGUUGAGUAUUAGAUUGGCAUUGAGUUGAUGAGUUGUUAACCCUAGAUAAUAGGGUGUUCCCAGUGGAUGACACUAUCCUUAGUUGAUAGGAUGUUCCCAGUUCAUGAGAUUGGAUCGAGCUCACAUAGCCUGUCUGCACCUGUGGAGGUCGCUCCUCACAGGUAGUGCACUCCGGAGUUUGGCACGCGAGGGGGCCAGUGUAGUUGCCCUUGGACCAGUGUAGUGUCCGCAGGCGGUCUCGGGGUAGGUGAAGAGCUAGCCACCUCCCUAGGAGAUUGAUACACGUGAGACAGUGUGCGAGCCUUGUGUUCGCUGAGAGAUUGGGUGAUCAGAUGAAUGACAUCGUUGUUGAACCUAGUAGCAUGGUAGCUAACCUUUACUAUGAGUUGCAUCGACAUUGAGCAUAGUCACUUGGUAGUUGGACUAGUGGAUUUGCCUACAUACAGUGAGUGGACAUACUAUUCCUUCACCUAUGAGAUUUGAGAGGGACAGCUUGUACCUAGUAGAGCGAGAUUGAGUCGGGCAAGGAGCGGGGUAGCUCUUUGCCUAGGACCUUUGAGAUUGAGUCGGGCGAGGAGCGGGGUAGCUCUUUGCCUAGGACUUUCGAGAUUGGGUCGACCUAUGAAGAUACAGUCGGCAAGGAGCGGGGUAGCUCUUUGCUAGGACUUGAGAUUUGAGACCUAGGCAAUUUGGCCUAAUUGAUGGGUGUAACAGGAAUUGAUUAAGUGGAUUGCAUUUCAUACGAUGAUUAGACAUAGUAGACUUGCAUACUAUGUUUAGUUGUAUUUCAUUUCACUGUUGAAACAUACUAGCAUGGGGAUAGGUAGAUAUUUGCUAGUGACUAUGUGCCCGAUGCAUUCCUUAUUUAAUUGAGCAUAGUAGAAUAUAGUAGCCCACGGCCAUUUAUUUCCACUAUAUCUUUCUUAUCUAUCUAUCUGUGCCAGCUUAGACUUAGUGGGGAGAAAUAUCGCGGAGUCGGCGGCCGAACCCACUGGGAACUAUAUUUUAAUAGUUCUGCACCGAGUUUCGGUGCAACUGCGUCUCUCUUGCUCGAUUAGCGACUCAAGACGGCGCAAUGUCGACGCGCGACGCCAGUGAGGUUUGUGGAUUUUGGGGUACAGGUACCCAUUAGUGGGACACACGAGAAGCCGCAAUGCGGCAGAGGAAUCACGGUAUUGGGCUUAGCGCCCUAGAUUUUUUUGGCCUAUUGGGUAUUUACUUUCCUAUUUUGGCAUUAGAGUUACCCAUUACACCUGUAUUGAGAGUAGAUGAUGUAUAGGUGUGAGGCUGUUUUGAGAUAAAUGUAAACUAAUGUUUAUACUUUGGAUGAAUGUAAAGCUAAGUUGUAAUUAAAUGUAUCAAGUUGAAUGGUUGUAAUAGAAUAGUUAAGUAUCUCUCUUUUGUUUCACUUGUAUGUCUACUACUUGUGACGCUUGCUCUUGUAAUGUUCAGCACUGUUUGUGCUCUCGCUGUUGUUGCAUGAUCAUGUAUGUAUUCAAGUUGAUUUCCUGGGGACUUGUUGUACAUGAUCUCGUUGUUGAGCCUUGGGCGGACAGGGGAGGUGCUGUCCGUUCGGCGGUCCGCCUGCCGCGCUCGAACCGUGCCAAAUCGGUAGCGGCCUCGGGGCGCGGGGCGUGACAGCCUUCAUAGCCACACCAUCGGGAUUUGAGGUUCCCGAACCGGCCGGCACCGCCGUGACUGGCACAGCGGUCGCAGCCACACCCUCGGUCGCACUCGGCACCACUACAGGGGGCGCAGGGUGCUCGGCGCCCACUUGAGCCGCCACCGCUUGCUGUCGCUCUAAGGCCUCUUGAAGCCUUUGAAUUUGCUCCCCUUGGCGCUGCACGGACUCCGCUUGUUGUCGCACUACUCCAAUAAGUGCGGACAUUUGCUCCCGAAGCUCCUCGUCGCCACUUGCCCCGGAUUGCUCGGGGGCCGCAUUCAGCUUCACAGGCAUUGACCUUGUUCGAGGUCUACCAUGAGCCAUCGCUUCCUAAAACGUAGCAAUUCAUGUUAGCUACACGACCAACUUACUUAGACAAACCCAAUCCGGCGAAAGCAAACAAGUGUAUUCAUUCUCAUUCCAAAGAAUUAUGUCGUCGACCGCCCGACACAACACAAGGAGUAGAGAACAAAUAUCAACUUGGAUUAGUCCCUAACAACAUUAGAGACAUACUAACAUCAACCCAAUCACAAAGCUUUCGCUAUACUUAGAUUCCACGUCACUCACGUUUCCUAGAUCCUUAAGGUUUCCAUUCCGAAGGGUCUCUAGGUCCAUCCUAUACUUUUACUUUUCAGUCUUUGAUACCACUAUAUCUGUCACGCCCUGAGCCCGCCUAUUUGGCCGAUUCGGGCACGUCGAACAGACGCCGAACGGACAGCACCUCCUAUGUCCGCCCAAGGCUCAAUACAAGUACAAAUCAAGUAUAUAGAUUGCACAAGUGGAAACAGAAUAUACAUGGCUUGCACGAGGGCAAGUAGUAGCCAAAAGUGAGAGAUUCUAAACUAAACAUUCAUACAAGUAUAAUGAUUAACUUUUAACCACAUACAUGCAUUCAUCUUGUAAAUGCUUUUACAUUCUUUCCAUCAUUUCUUUUACAUCACACGAUUUCCCAAAAUAUAAACCUCUUUACAUUAUUUAUCAUAUCCAUAAUACUAACAUCAGCAAAUACAAAAGAUAAUAUAUAGGGAAUGCAACUAAAUAAAUAUGGACCCGACUCGGGUAGUCACUGUCUAUGGUGCGAUACCUUUACCGCGAUCGUCGGCCGGCUCACUCGGUUCCGGCUCUAUGAAAAAUAGUGGGGUGAGAACUAUAACAAAGUUUUCAGUGAGUUUGGCCGCCGACCUCGCCGACUUUCCCACUAGGUCUAAACCAGACAUAAUAGAAGAAUAAACAGAUAGAUAGUAACCAAACUAUACAAAUGUAGCUAAUAUGCCUAAACAAGAUAUAGUCAACAAUGAUGCUCAAAUAGAAUGCUCAUGAUGCAUGCAAGAUCACAUUUUCAUUAUUCAAUCUCUUGGCUUACCCGUAGGUUUUGCCCAAAGCAACUCACCAACCCCAAAUCCCUAAUAUCGGGGAGACUACUACGAUCCGACGGGACCGUCCUCUGGAAAAAACACCAACCCAGUGAUGACUACUCCGGAGCUCAUUGCUUGAGAUGGAGCUACUAUCCUCGAGCCAUGACUUAUACGCGAGUAUGAUCCAAUCCUUAACUAUAAGGAUGCUAAGCUCAAUCCAAUCCUUAACUCUAAGGAUGCAAUGCUCAUUUGACCCUUAACUAUAAGGAUGUUAUGCCACGUUGUGUCAUAAUGUCAACUAUCUCAUCUUUUGCAUUCUUUAACUCUCAUUAGUGUCACACACACUACAUGUUCUUUAUACUCAAUCUCAUGCAUUUAUUGUUCUCAUUAAUGCCACACUUGUAACACUAGCAUUCAAAACUCAUUGAUGCCACUCUACUAUUGAUGUCAUAAUGUCAUUUGUUCUCAAUGUCACUAGAUUCUUUGCCUUUACUAGGUUCUUGUCAUCAUUCACGCAUACGUAGGGUUUUACAUGUUCUCAUUAGUUUAGAAUAAUCUCAUAUGCAUUUGUACUUACAACAUGGAACAAUAUACUCUCAAAUCACCCUACAAUGCAUGAAGCUCAAUAUACACAUAUGCUCAAGAAAUGACAUUUUAGAGAUAAAAGAAAAUCCGAGGAUUUCGGAAAGCACCACCGACCUCGUAUGGUUGCUAAGGUGCUACAGUUCAAUUUUCGUGAUUUUUAGCCGCCUAUUCUCUCGCCUGCGGUAAAACGAAACCAAAUUAGGCUUUUUCCCCGAUUCCUUUGCGUAUACUCGUCGGAUCUUCGAACCAAGUUCACCAAUGCAUCGGAAAUAUCUUCAAUUAGGUUUCUACAAUGUCAAUUUACAUUUAAACCGAUCUAUGAGAAAAGCCCCAAUUUUGAUGCCCUAACAAUGCCCUAUAGCAUAAGCACCAAAUGGAUCUUGGAGAUAAGCAAAAACAAGCUUAAUAUCAUCUAAAGAUCCAUCUAAAACCAUUCGUAGGGCAUUUGAACCAAACCCUAGACAUCUACCAUGAGAGCUCAUGGAGCUUACCUCAAAAGCUAUCAUUUCCUUGAGCUAAGGAAGAAGAAGAAGAAGUUUUUCACUUCCUUGCCUUCUUCUCCACCAAAUCCUCCGUCAAAUUCUCUCUAAUCCUCCUUGGUGAAGAGCUCCUAGAGAGAGAGAAGGGGAGAAAAAUGAGAGAGAAAGGGUGGGUUCACUGCUGUGAACAAGAGAGGAGAGGUUGGGAUAUUUUUAUAGGCUGCCACAAUAGCAAAUAAACUCUCCAACUCUUUUUAUUUGCAGCAGACCCAGCCUGCUGUUCGCAGCGCUGCGUACCGGUAUGCGGGUGGGCGUCACCGAUACGCCCCUGUUCAACAGCCCCAACCUGAGAGCUGCUGUUCUCGGGUUGUUGCGGGGUACCGGUACUACCCAGAUUGUCACUGGUUAAGCAGCUUGAUAGAGACCAAACCCGAGAGCUGGUUUCUCUGAUCGCCUGCCUGGUACCAGUACUGCCCUAGUGCUUCACCGGUUAAGCAGUGCCUAGACUGCAGUUUGGGGAGUGCUCGGCUCCAAUUCGCGCCGAGCAAUGUUAAAACCCUUCAAUCGCAUUCGGAACUUAACUCUAACCCCUCCAACACUGUUGGAGUGUCAACUGGGCUUUGUCCAACCAUUUCUGUCACCAAACUUUGAUCAAUUUGACUAAAGUCCGAUAUAGCCUACCGAGGUUUCUGUAUAUUACAAUCGAUCUGCCCACAGCGAGAGGGGAGGUAUUUUAGAUUUGGCCAGGUUGGACAUGUUAGCCGUGAGUGUCUGGGUAGAUCGUCUACUCCGACGGCUGCAUCGGUUUAGUUUAUCGCAAUACAGCUAGCGGGAUUGCCACCUGCUAUGUCGGCUGGAUGCUUAUCUGUGCCGCGUCAGCCAAAGGGAUGAAAUUAUGCUAACAAGUGCUGGAAAGAUCUUGAGUUCGCGGUUGGAGAUCGCGUUUUCUUGAAGGUAUCACCCAUGCAUGGUGUGAAGCGGUUUCGUAUUCGAGAAAAGUUUAGUCCCCGAUACAUUGGACCGUAUGAGGUUUCUCGGUGUGUAUCCUUGCUCAAGAAGUGAGGAAAUUGCGUAAUCAUACAAUUCCGUAUGUAAAGGUUCAGUGGAGCAAUCAUGCGAAGCGUGAGGCCACUUCGGAACUCGAGGAGAUGAUGCGAACAACCUUUCCUCAUCUGUUUGAGUAGAUGAGCUAAGGUAUGGGUUUGAGUUUCUGUCACGCCCCGGGACCCAGCGGAAGCCCGCCCGGCGCGUGCCCAGACCCGCCAUAUGUUUAAAACAUACAAGGCGUCUAAAACAAAACGAUAAAUAAAGCAGUAGAACAAAGGAAUCUAACGAUAUCAGAGCAAAGUAAAUAACUAUGUUCUACAACAGAGGUGGAAGUAUAAAACUGAAAUCCACUAAUAGAGCCAUAAAGUAGUACAAAGGAAAUCCCAAAUACAAAAACUAAACAUAAAAAGUAUAUAGGUGGUCUCUCUAUACAUGGUACUCAAAAUCUCUUUCUCUCUAGUACAAAAGGAAAGAGUAAACCACCUAAGCUCAACAGUAGCUCCCCGCUAACUAGCUACGCGACUCCUUUGCCGCGAUCCCGUGCCUCCGCAGAUGUCGAAGGUUCUGAAAUAAAACCAUAAAACAGGGGGCGUGAGAACUAUUAAAUAAUAGUUCCCAGUGGCCAAUUACUGACUUUAGUGAAAUGCGCCACUAGGCCCAAAAGCUACAAAAAGGGGUCAGUGUAUAAGUAUAAGCGAAAGCGGUAAGAACAACUAGGAAAUAAACAUGAAUACUACUCAACCAUGAUGUCUCUACUUAACAUGAUUUGCAUAAGUAAGAAAGCAACUACUACAAGUAUGUGCACAAGAGUAACCCACAUGUAAAUGCAUAAGUACGCAACUAACCCAAUGUCCACAAUGUAAAUAGUAAAGAUGUCAUUGUUUACUAUUCUAGUCAAUGUCCACAUGUCACUUUGACUGUUUAAAGUUCAACUUUGAUAGGACCCACCCGAAGGCUAUCUGGCAUGAAGACCCAACUGAAGGCUGUCUGGCCUGUAAGACCCACCCAUAUGCUGUCUGGCCAGUGCCGUGCCUAAUGGCCCCGUGGUAGUCAACAUCCCCACUCUUAGGGAUAAGCCUUUCCCACGGCAAUCCACUUCGGCGCCCAAUCCCGCACGGCAAACGUAUCGCGAUGGCUAACUCCGGAGUGCCGCCUUGUAGGGAGCCACCCUCACAAGCAUGUGCGAAUGAGUACAAUGGCAAGCAUGCAUAUAAGUCUGUCUCAAGUCUCACAUCCUCAUGUCUAUGAACAUGGAAUAUAUCGAAUGCCACAAAGGCCUAUCACUAUGUCAUCAUGUCUCUGACAUGGAAUAUAGUCGAUGUCCAAUGGCCUAUCACUAUGACUCUAUGUUGCAUUUUCAUAGUUUACUAGUUUCAAGUGCCCCUUUAUGACACUUUUGUUCAACGAGUCCAAGCAUGAUGAUUAUGUUCCCGAAUGCAUAAUAUGAGUCAUUUUAAACAUAGAAGACAAGUUUUCCACUAGCUAAUGCGAUUAUUUUUCACAUUCAUGCAGCAUAUCCAUAAGGCUCUACUAUAUAGAGUGAAAUUUUCAUCAUACAUAAUGCACGCAUUUUAAGUGUUCUAAAAUUCACAUAAUUCAUAUUUAGCAUGGAUUUGCAUUCAAAAAUACUUUACGACAAGUAUAGAAAACAUAGGGGCCAUUUUGCCCCGUGUUCAUGAAGCCAAACCCACCAAAAAUCAAAACUCUUCGUUUCGCCGAACGGAGUUGUCCAUAAGUCUCCUAGCACCCUAAAAAUGUAGGAACAAGAGUUACAAAAUCGAAACGAACAUCGGAAAGCUCAAUCUUAACCAUCUAAGCAUAGAGGGCAUAACUCACCUCUUGCGAUGAAAUGCCUUCUCAAGCUUCCAAAGAGAGCAAAAACCCUUUCAACCUAACCUAGAGGAAGGUUCUAAACCCAUCAAUUAGGUCUCGAAGCCCUCAAAUCAAAAAUUCCCAAAAUAAACCCUAAAUCUCAUUUCUAGGGUUUCAUCUCCCAUAAUCUACCAAAAAUAGGUCUAGAGGGGAGAAAUAGGCAACUAACCUCAAGAGGAGAUCCAAACCAAGCUCAAAAUGCUUUAGGGUUAUAGAUUGAUCCUCUAUCGAGCUCCUAGCCCAAGCCCCAAGCCUCCAAUGGUGAGCAAAAGAGAGAGGAAGAUGCUCAAAGCCUCAAGAUCUUGCUAUUCCCCAACUUCUUCUUCUUCUUCUCCUCCUUCUUCUCUCUCUAGAAGUGUAAGGGAGGGUGAGAAAUGAGAGAGUGAGAGGGUGGAAAUGGCCUUAAGGCCCUUAGAAGCAACAAAAUCCAUUCGUGAUUCACAUCGUGAGUUAUUUUCCAAUUUCUUCGAAAUCUUGAAUUCUUUGAUCUUUGACAAUACGCACCGAUUCCUCAAGACUCCGACUCACUUCACGAAACUUGCCAACACACAAGGCUUAACAAUCUCCCCCUUUGGCAAUUUCGUGACAAAACUCACAACAACUCAAAAAUUACAUUUUAAAGAAAAACGAAGUUCAUUGUCAUCACCAAAACAUCGAACCCCUCGUAUAUAGUCCAAAUACAAUUCGAAACUCAAAAGUACAUCAUAAACUCCUAAAACAGACUCUAUGACUUAGACGCAACUAGGAGUCUUGAAGUCUUGAUUUCCUGCAAAACAGAGAGUAUCCAAGAUAAUGUAGAACAUUAGAUUCUUAUACAUUCUCCCCCUUUGUUCUCAAUCACCUCUCCCCCUUUGUUUUCAAUCACCUCUCCCCCUUUGUUUUUGAAGUUCAUCCUCUNAUCAUAAACUCCUAAAACAGACUCUAUGACUUAGACGCAACUAGGAGUCUUGAAGUCUUGAUUUCCUGCAAAACAGAGAGUAUCCAAGAUAAUGUAGAACAUUAGAUUCUUAUACAUUCUCCCCCUUUGUUCUCAAUCACCUCUCCCCCUUUGUUUUCAAUCACCUCUCCCCCUUUGUUUUUGAAGUUCAUCCUCUGCAUUCUCUGCUUGCAUUCUCUGCUUUGAUCAAUACCUAUUCUUCUUAUGAUCUCCCCCUUUUUGUCAAAAAAUUGCCAAAACUAAAGCAUAUAGAGAAAGAAUAUACUAAGAAGCAAAAGAGUAGUCAAGUCAUAGUUACAGGCCUAAAGCAAAAUUAAAAACAUGCAAAAGAAAGAUAAGCAAGCAAAGCUAAACUAAAACAUCGUCCUAAAAAGCAAACACAGUGAAGUAAAAAGACUAAGCUCGACAAAGAAAUCACUCCGUGUCCUCGUCAUCAUCAUCAUCAUCAUCUGCCCUAGCUCCAGAUCCCCCAGCCUCAGGAGCAUCACCGGACGAUGAAAUGAGUAGAUGUCGUGAUGUCGAUCUAGUAUAAGUGGAGUAGGUAGGCUGAGUAGGAAAUAUAUUGUCAUGCCUACAUCCCAGUUUUUCCAUAAUCCUGUUCAUUCCCAACUCCACCUUCUUAGCAAGAUCUGCCACUUUCUUCUUUAAGGAGCGCACUUCAUGAUGAAGUGAUUCUACAGUAAUCACUCCCCCUGAGCUCGAAGAUCCCUCACGCUCUGCUUGAGGUGGAGGUGCUGAACUAGAAGCUCCUCUGGAUGAUCCCUUAGUUUGCUGAAAAGUCUUCAGUGUGCUUUUUGACUUGGCCCUGGUUACAGCAUCAAUCGGUCCAAGUCCAGUGUCAUACUUGUCACACGACACGUCAACUCCGUGUUCUUGAAGAAUCCUCGUGAUCAACAACGGAAACGGAAGUAGAUCACGUCGAACUUGAGACUAUAUAACAUGUGCCAUUCUUUGCCACAUCAGAAAGGGAAUAUUGAUAUUUAACCCGUCCGCUUCCUCAGGAUGUCCAAGAAGAUAUAGAAGCACCAGACGAUCCCAACGAAUCCUUUUGUUCCAAUUGUAGGUUGAAUAUUGUAGCUCAUCACCAAGUAGAGUAAAUGAUACUCAGGUCGCAAAUCCUUGAAUUCCACGUAUGAAUAAUUCAUCCUCACGCCUUCUUUGCAAAUUGCUUGAAUAACAAUCUCCCAGUGGGUCGAAGACUGAUAAAGCCCUGUCGUAUAGUGAAGACCGGUAGUAUCAACAUGCAUCCCUAAGUGCUCUCCAAUCGUGUAAGGAGUGACUUGAAUCUUCUGCUUACGCACAUUUGUCUCAAACACAUAAGUCCCAGUCUCCUCAUCCUCUGCAAGCACCAUCCCGUUCAUGUAGAACUCCUGAAUGAGUUCCACACAGAAUGGAGCACGAGCUGGAACCCGUCCGACGGGCUCAAUAGGGACCCUCUGCAGCAAUCGACCAAAAUCUGGAACCUCCUUGAUCAGCUCAGUAAAGUUGACAUAGCGCUCAGCUAGAACUGAUCGGCUCGAAUAUAUCCUCUGUCGCUCUGAUGAAACCUCUGCAGCACAUUUGGAGCGACUCUCACGCGCACGAGAAUCACCUCCUCGCGAGGAUUCUCCAGCUAUGCCUUUUCCUUUAGGAGCCCUAGUAAAAGCUUCUUCAGUAGCUUCAGGUGAGCUUGCUUGAUAAUCCGGAUCGGAUCCUGAUGACUCAUCGGCAGUACGAGUCCUCUUUGAUGUCCCACGACGCCCUCGACCACCACCACGGCCACGACCGGCGGUCAUAAGCACCAAAAGCAGAAUCACAAGCGAGAACGCCAUUUUUCCUACAUUAAAAUGAGCCAUACAUGAACAAAAUUUUGAAAAAAUCUGUAAAAAUAGCAAAAAAAAUCUAAUAUUCUUAGAAUGCAUACUAACGCUAUUUCAAACUCAUUCAUGCAAAAAAUUUCAUCAAAAAUUGACAUUCCAACAACAAUCCCGAAAUUCCAUGUAUAAUGAUAUAAAGAUCAUAAAUCAGCGAAAAAUAACGCAUUAUGACAUGAUCUAAACGUUCUAGAAGCAAGAAUACAUGCAUACAAACUGAAACGAAGCAAAAAAUUGCAUCAAAAACGAAUCAAAACAGAGAUCUAGCUUCAACUCGAAAUAUUUUCGAAAAAUAGGCAAGAACGCGAUGAAACGAUUAAAUCUAAGCUAAAUACUCACAAAUUUUUGGGGAAACCGAGUAGAUCUGGAAGAGGAAGUCUCCUGGGGAUUUUAGAGAGAGAGAGAACGAAAUUUGGUAAAGGUUUGGAGGAGGAAAAAACCCUGUAACCGGUUUUAUUUCCGCGGCUACAGUGAUUUGUACCGGUACACAGGAUUUUGUACCGGUACACUUUUCCAGAUUUCGUAAAUUUGAAUUUAGAAAACCUUUAAACUUAAAUUAAUUUCGUACAAAUUAAGGACUUUACUCCAAAAAUCAUUAUAAUAAAGGUAAAAUAUUAUAAGAUUUCAAGAUACAUUGAAACAUCAAAAUUUUGUUAUCAAAAAUGACCUCGAGUUUCAAAAUCAUCAAGAUGUAACGGUUCACGAAAAAUGAUUUUUUGAAAUUCGGCAAAAUUGACACCAAUUUGUCGCAACCCGUUCAAAAUAGAGAUUUAACUAAUAUGAUACCGGGGGUGGCUCUUUGAGCAUCUUUUUCAAACUAACACCUUAUAACUCCGAAAAUUCUAAAAUAUUCAAUUUUUUUUCAACCUUUUCGGUUAUUCAAUUCAAUUUUCAUGUGGUAGCUUCACACACUUGGCGCACGACCGGGGUGGUAGCUCUUUCCUACAUGUGGUGGUAGUUUUCACACUCCUUUUAGGAUAGAACUCUUUCCACAUCUUUUAAACAUAGGAGUAUCUUUUUUCUUUUUUUAAAAAAAUAAUUUCAAACUCCCCCUAAAUUAGACAAUCUCACAGUUAAAAGUAAUUUUGACAAAAUUUUAGUCGAUUAGUAAAUAUCCAUCCAUCAUAUCCAACACACACAACCAAGAUGAAUUAAUCACCAAAAGAUCAAAUUGAUUUCAAAAUUUUGAUGAAUAUAUGUAUAAUUCUUGUAAUCAAUUAUCAUCAAAAUAACACAAAAUGGAGUAAAAUCGAUAAUUUAAUUCAAGAUGAAUUCUGGUUAAGGCACUUUGAAAAAUUCUAAUCUCCCCAAAAGAAAGAUUUUCAAUCAUCUCCUUUCUCAAAGAAAAAUUUUAAACUUCCCAAACAUCUUUCCUCAGAUCAAUUUUAAAAAUAAAUUUUGCACACGAAAAUCAUCAUGUAAUGCAAUGAAUAAAAAUAUGCAACAAGCACCAAACAAGGCAUUACAUAAACAAUCAAAACAAACUAAGACGAAGAGUAAGGAAAGAUAUCACCUUUCCGAAUCCAAACUUGUCGGAUUUUGCGUUGUCUUGUCUUGUCGACGUUAGGCACAAUUUGCUUUGAUUUUUGAUCAACCGUUGGUCGUUUCAUUGCUUGAGGCUUCAGUUGAAAUUGUUGAUGAACCUUUGAAUUCCGGUUUGCUUGUGGGUAUGGUCGAACUUGACGUUGUGGCUUAGAAGUCUGAUUCCCUCGAGGUACUCGACUCAAUUGAUUUUUCUUUUGAUUCCAUGGGGGAAGGCGAGUUGCCGAUUGUGGUUUAGACAUUGCCGAUUGAUUCUUCUUUUUCUUAUUUGGGCAAUUCUUUUUAAUGUGUCCCUUGAUGCCACAUUUAUGACACACCUUCUUUUUCGAAGUUGUUGAGACUUUAGAAGUUGAUUUUGAAACCUUCUCAACACAUGUUCUUUCAUAUCCGAGACCCAACUUGCUCGUUUGACCUAAUCCAAGCAUAUGAUCUAAUUUCUUUGAACCGGAAGAGAAUUUUUGUAUGUCGGAUUGAAGUAGACGAACUUGAUUGGUCAAUGACUUGUUAGAAGUGUGCCAUUCCUCGAAUUGUUGCUCCAAAAAUCCAAUCAUGUCUUUAUAAAAUUUGAUCGUUGAUUCCGCUUCAUCAAGCUUCUCUUGAAGGAUUGAACGAUCAUUCAAAUUUGAUUCCCUUUCCUCCUCGAGAGCACUUGUAACAUUCCGGAUUUUGAUAUAAAAAUAAUAAAUAAAUAAAAAUAGUGUGAGAUACUAUUUUUAUUGAAUUUAGAGAGGUAAAACAUAAGUCAGAAGUGACUUGUGCUGAAAUCGGAAUGAAAACAGAAGAUUUAUAAUUUUCUGUUGGAAACGGGACAGAUAAAUUAGCAGAAAAUGCACAGUGUCAGAAAAUUAUGAAAACUGGAGGAUAAGUCAGAAUUAUUUUUAUGAGGCUAGAUUUAAAGUUUCAUAUCAUUCUGACACCCGAAAGGUGGAAAAUAAAAUCCGACAGCUAUCUGACAAAGAUUACAGUUCGGUACAGCUUUCGGUGACCAAACGGGGUCAAAACUGAAAUGUUAAAAUUUUUUUGUACUUAUUAAGUAAAACUGAGACUGACUGUCAAAUUUGAGUGCAAAUGGGCAUUCAGAAGGGCUCCGGCGAAAAAUGUCAGUUUUAAACUGCCUGGAGUGAUAGUGUUUGAGGGGCUAUUAUGUAAUUAAGCUUGCCUUUCUCUUGUCUUCUCCCACAGCCGACCACACCACCAACACACGCACGCAUGGAGAGGGGGAGAGAAACCUUCAUUUCUCUCUCUAAAUAUCUCUCUCAUCUCUCUAAAUCUCUCUCUAAAAAUUGGAGGGUUGGUGGAGAGCGAGCUUGCGAACGCGUUGGGAGCGACGGAUCGAGCUUUCGUGCGGCCGUUGGAGCAACGUGCUUUCGUCGCGGCAUUCACAUUUUGGUAAGCUUUUGGGAUUUGGUUUAAAUCCUUCAUGAAUGAUGUUCUAGUAGUAUCUAGAGUGUUCUAAACAUAUUUGCUCCAUUUAAUUUGGAUUAUUUGGAGAUUAUUUGCACGUUAGGGCUCUGAAUGGGGUUUUGUAAAAUAGUAAGGUUUGAUCUCAUUUGACCCUCCGUAAACCUAAUUGCUAGGUAAACGAAUGCGUUGGCGAGGUCGGUUCGGCGAUUCGUCAAGCCGUUGUAAAGAUAUUGAAGAAACGGACUAUUUAGCUCCGUUUCCGCCUGGAGGGCCGAGGCAACAUCGUAAAAUCAUGAAAACGGAUUUGGAGCACCGUGGCACAUAACCGAAGACCUAUAAUUUUUGGAGCAGCGAUUCGACGCACGGUUGGUGAGUAUUAGUAAAAUCGGACCGAACUGGACACGGGUGCCGCGGGAGGCCGAUUGCAAUGUCGACAAGCAAUCGGAAAACGAUUUGAGGUGGGUUGUGUUUACCGAAGCGAUUAGGUCGCCCGGCAUAUCAAAGCGGAAUAUGAAUUUUUGUUGAUGCAUAUGUAUGUGUAUACGGGCAUGUUAGCAUUAUGUAAAUGUAUGCUAAUGGGUAGAAUACAUGCUAGUGAUAAUUGCAUAAUAAUGCAUUGGAAAGUACAUGCUAGUAAGUAGAUGCAAGUGAUGUGCAGGUUGGCAUUGUAAUGUGCUAGGUGAAAGAUAAUGCAUGUAAACCUAAUUGAUAGGUUUAGGGAAUUAUGCAUGUGAACCUAUUUGCUAAAUGGAAACAUAGGCAUGCUAGCAUCAUGUAAAUACUUGCUUGUUGAUGAUUGCAUAUAAAUAUUAUGUAUGCUAGUUGAUAAUUGCAUGUUGAUGCAUUAGAAGUGCAUGCUAGUUGAUAAUGGCAAAUUGCUAUGUUGAAAUAUAUGCUAGAUGUUAUUUGCAUGUGACAUGUUAACCUACAUGCCAGAAGAGAGCAUAGUGACAUAAUGAGAAAAGUAUAAUAUCCAUGUUGAUAACGUGGAUGUUUAUAGAAACUCGAUGUGGACAAUUAGGUAUUGAGUAGAUCGAGUGGCAUUAACCUACUGUUAAUAAACAUUGGUCGGACAAAGAUGACAUUGAACAUAGUGUUAGUAAACAUAGGUUGCAUUGAACCUAGUGUCAUGGACAUAGGUUGGAUAAGAGUGACAUACGAACCUAGUGUUAAAAAACAUAGGUUGAGCAUUAACGUAGUGUUGUUGAACCUAGGGUAAAUCAUGUGUGGCAUUAACCUAGUGUCGUGAACAUAGGUUGUCACGCCCCAAUCCUCGCCAAUUUGGUCGGAUUCGGGUCAUGUCAACAGACGCCGAACGGACAGCAUCUCCCUCGUCCGCCCAAGGCUCCAACAAACACGUAUAAUUAAACAAUCAACAAAGAGAUAUGCAAUUAUACAAGGCUUGCACGAGGACAAGCAACAACAGAAGCGAAAGCUCUAAGCUAAUAUAUACAACCAUACAUAAUACUUGAUUACAUUUGAACCAAAUAAAAGUAAACUGAACUAUUACAUUCUUUGCUUUCAUUCAUAAUUCCUUCCAUUUAGCUAUUCACCAAAUUACAUAUUUGUUUUCAACUUUACAACUUUCUAAAUCAACAAAAGAAGUUGAUACAUGUAAACCAAAAGGGAAAUGACUACAAAAUAUGAAAUAGUCCUGGUGGCCGCUAUCUACGGCACUAAACCCUUGUCACGGUCCUCCGCCGCCCCGCUCGUGCUCGGACCUGUGGGGUUAGUGGUGUGAGAACUACAACGAAGUUCCCAGUGGGUUCGGGAACCGACCUCGCCGACUUACCCACUAGGUCUAUCCAGGCAUAAGUAUAACAAAGGAAGAAAAAUAACCAGUACUAAUGCAUCUAAUACUAUGCCUGCAAAAGAAUGUCAGUGGAUAUAUGUAAUCAACAAUAUUUGGUAUGCAUGCAUGCAUGUUCUUUACCAUUACUUUGUCUUUCUGUACCCAAUCUUACCGGUUAACUUUGUUAACCCCAAUAGCUCACAAUUUCUUAUCCCGUCUACCGGGGGAGGCAAUUAGCACUACCACCCGAGGGAUCGUCGACGGGGUUCUUCCCCGUGGUGUCUACACUCCGGAGUACACCGCUUGAGGAGGAGCGACCUCCCUCAAGCCUAAGUCCACGUGAGCCUCGAUCCAAUCCUCAAGUUGAGGAUACAUAGCCACUAGUCAUAAUGCCGAUGUCUUAAUAGGUUCUUACAUAUUGUUCAUGUCAUGUUCUAAGUCAUUCUUGCCACGAUGUCAUUAUUGUCAAACCUUGUGUAACAAUAUCAUUUUCAAGGCCAAUCAUAUCUCUAUUGUCAAUGCCACCUUUGUUCACUAUAGUCAAGUCCAAGUCCCACAUUCACACAUCUCUCGGGUUCAAUCAUACAUGUUCAUUACGGUUCUUGUUCAAUCUCUAUGUUCAUCUACAUUAGAAGCAUAAUAUUGAAAUUCUAACCACUAGUCACAUGUAAGAUUACCCUACUAUGCAUGAAUGACUAUAUACAAUAUGCUCAAAGAUAAAGUGACAUAGACAUAGAAGGGAAUCCAACGAUUCUGGAAUGUACCCCCCACCUUUAAUAGUCGUGUAGGUGUAGAAUAUGACGACUCCCAAACUUUACGAAAGCCGAUUCCACGUCCUAUAACCAAAAUAGUGCCAUAUUAGGCCUUUUGUACAUGAACCAUACUUAAACAUUUUCGUAACGUCGAACGGAGUUGUCCAACGCGUCGAGGACAUCCCCAAUUAGGUUUCCACGAGGUCAAUUCGCCCUUGAAAAUUUCUAGGGCAAAAGCCCCAAAUUUGAGCCCUAACAAUGCCUUAUGCAAUUUUCUUUUAGAUUGAUCUCAUCUCUAAGCAAAAGAUAGCUUAGAAUCAUCUAAGAAGUAUUCUAAUAAAGUUUCCAAGCCUUUUGAACCAACCCUAGGGCCUCUACUUUGAGCCUUAGUGAUCCAUCAUGAGAGCCCUACAAGAAAACCAUGGAUUUCAUGGUUUCUUUGCUCAACAAGGUUCUAAAGCUAGAAAUAAACUCAAAACCCUAAAACUUUGGGUUGAAAUCCAAACCCUAGACUCUCUUGAACCAAAACCUCACCUUUGCCCAAGUUCCACCAAGCUCCUUCUUGUAGGUGAGCUUCUUGGACCACCAAAUGUUAAGGAUUUUAUAGAUUGGCGAAUUUCGUAAAGUUGUUUGGAGUCUUGAAAAGUUGAUCGCAGAAGUUUUUGAGCAAAGAUUCAAAUUGGAGGACAAAGACUCAUUCGGAAAGAUCGACACCUAAGGUAUGAAGAAAAGAUCAUUUGUGGUGAAGAUACAUAAUUAAAAUAAGUUCAAAAGGCUUAGAUUGUUUUUAAAUAACUUUUCUGAACUUUCUUGUGUUCUGGGACCGGUCUCUGAAAUGGAGAGACCGGUUCCCCCAAGGUCCUCAUUGCGUAAACCUUGAUGCAACCGGUCCCCUGUGAUGAGAGACCGGUUCCCGAACCUUGGUGAUUCUGUCGCGCAGCGAGGGACCGGUCUCAAGUUUGAGAGACCGGUUCCCGAACGUGGGGUUUUUGGUCACGCAGGGAGGGACCGGUUUCUCACUUGAGAGACCGGUCUCUCACAGACCGGUCUCCUCGACAGGACCGGUCUCUGAGGACGACACAGGUUUUUGAAAACGAUUUUUUACAAUCCUAGUCUACUUCUAAGUCUUCUAAACAUAUAAAUAAGCUAUGUGGGUCAUCUAAAAUUAAGGCUUUGAAUAUUUUACCAAUUCCAAACCCUAGAAACUUGUUUUCUUUCCGUUUCAAUGCUUAGAUUUACAUGAUGAGUUUCUAGCAAUCAACAUCGGCUUGAUUCUUCGUUUUUACUCAAUACUUCUUACGAGAAUCAAGUAGAUGAUUGAUUAAAGGUGAACCCUCAUAGCUUAUGGUUUUCAAAAGUUAAAUCACCACAAAUCUUCAAUUCUACAAUCUCCGGAAGGAGGUUCGGCGCGUGGAUCUCGCGUGAAGCCGAGAAUUCGGUGGACGUUUCGAGGAGUUGAGGCGUUGACGCUGCGAGGAGUUGCAGCUAGGUCGAUUGGUGGAUUCCUAUCGAUCGAGGACCGGCAAAGAUCACCGUCAACGAGAAAUCGGUAAAUUGAGUUGUGUGUUUUUGGUCGAAAUCACUUGUACUCAAGUUUUCUUAGUGGAUUUUCUUUGCGUGAUCGGUCCCGUGGGUUUUUCACUCCGAAUUGGAGUUUUCCCACGUUAAAUUCUCGGUGUGCUAUUUUAAUUUCCGCUAUUGUGUUUUGUUUGCAUCGAGAUUUUUCGAGUUUGCCGAAUUUACACCUAUUCACCCCCCUCUAGGUGUUACUUACCUUUUAGAUCCUUGGGAUCCAUAUCUAUCACCAAAACCCUAAACUCCCUCUUCUCCAAGUUCUUCUUCUUCUUCUCCUUCAAGCCCUAGAUGAGUUCGAGAGAUAGAGAGGAGAGGAAAUCAGGGUAAGGGUGUGCUUUCGCUAAGAAAAGGGAGAAGGGUCGAGUAUAUAAGGUGUUGUAACAAUUACAACAAGGUCCUCCCACUAUUUCCGUUGUGCACUGCCCAGACUGGGCGUUCUGAGCGGUGGGGGACCGAUCUCCCCAACCAAGGACCGGUCCUCGAGAGCUGCUCUCGCCGACUGCGCAGCCGGCGCACGAGGCAACCGGUCUCGGCCCGAGGCAACCGGUCUCUUCCCGCAGGGACCGGUUCCCGAGAGCUGGUUUACCAGGACUUAGCCAAUUUCUCGGCCAUCUCGCUGCCUACGCGUUCGGGGACCGGUCUCUCCCACCAGGGACCGGUCCCCGAGAGCACAAAACCUGCAGUUUUGCAGAUUUUAAUUUCUAAAGCUCUCGAAGAUUCCCAGUAAUGCACUUUUGCAUUAUUUGAUGCCUUCGGCCUUUCCGAAGCGUACCAAUCUCGCACUUUGGUCAUUUUGACCAAGGUUCGAAUUUAAUUACCGAGGUUUCGGUAUGUUACAUAGGUUGUGAACUGGACCUAGAGUUAAAGUGAACCUAGGUUAUGUGAUUGAGCUAUUAAACCUAGAGUCAGUUGGACCUAGGGUGGAAAGUGCAUUGGACCUGGUUAGGUCGAUACUAUAAGAUUUGAGACCAACCCUUGAGCUAUUUAAAGUGGAUUCCGGAAUCCCAAGACUUGUGAGCUCGAUAGUUCUUGGCCGCGGGUGCAUAUGGCAUGUUCCUCUCCCACCGGAAGAACUUUGAGUAUUAUGACUGAGCAAGAAUAGAGAGCGCUAGGGUGUAUGCGGCAUGUUCCUCUCCCUAUCGGGGAUCUCGGUUGCGGGUGUAUGCGGCAUGUUCCUCUCCCACCGAGGGAUCCCUGACCACGGUGCACGGACCUUUGGGCGGACCGUUUGGCAAUGUGGUUCUUGGCUUGCAAGCUGAGGUGCAUGUGAGAGUUCCUUCACCUCGAGCCGGGCAGAGCGCGGAUUAUCCGCAGUUGAUUGACUCGAGGCCGAGUCAAGUGGCUAGCUGGAAUAAGGUAGAUAGAACCUUGAGGGCUAGUAGUAAAUGUGAUAAACCUAAGGUAAUAGAAACCUUAGAGUUAGAUGAUAUGAACUAACGUUAGCAAGAUUGAAUGUAGAAUCAAUAGAUCUACUAGUUGUUGCAUAUAUAUUCAUGUUGCAGAUAGCAUGGCAUCGUUACAGUUGUGAGGCAAGGCAUGGUAAUGUUAGUUGCAUAUUUAAGAUAAAUAUAUAUAUAUAUAUAUAUAUAUAUAUCUGCUUAUUGGACUAACAUGUGUUUGCCUCCUUUGGACCUGUUGGUCGAGCUCUUCUCUUGAGUGGCCGUACCCACUGGGAGCCAUGAAGUUGGUUCUCACUCUACGUUGUUUUGGGGUGUUACAGGUUCGCACGUGAGCGGCGCGGUGGCGCGAGGAAAGGGCGUAGCUUCGUAGGUAGCGCCCUACCCCAGAGACCAGAGAUACAAGUACCCCAUGUCGGUAUAGCCUAGGGGUAUAGAAAAAGGAAAGAACAAGAAUGUAUCAAACUUAUAAUAAAUUUGUAAUAACUAGAUUGUAAUUUGGAAACUGAAUGUAAAAGAAACUGUGAUGUAAAAAUGUAAGCUGGUGAAUGCUUGUAAUAACUUAGUUGUUUAUGUUUUUGAUACUUCCUUAUGCAAUCUAUGCUUGAUUUCUGUUCCUGGCUGAAACAUCGUGAAUUGUAUUGAUUGUGACGCCUAGGACGUACAGGAAAAACUCUGUCCGUUCGGCGGUCUGUCGGCGUGCCCGAAUCCGACCAAAUAGGCGGGUGUCGAGGCGUGACAGAUAAGAUGGUAUCAGAGCAUAAAAGAAACAUAAAAAGAAUAAUAGAAAAUGGUUUAGUUGGAUCUAGGAGACCCGAGGAUAGCAAACCAUAGGAGAUUAAGGCUCAUGAGAGACGAGGACUUGUGACUUUUGGCGAAAGAUAAAUUGAUUGGGUUAUGUUGUAAACCUCUAAAACGGAUGUUAGAGGUAGACUCAAGGUGAGGCUUAUUCUCAACAGAGGGUGUUCAUGUUGGGUGCACACAACAUGAAGCCGAGUGAUGAGAAUAGACGCCCUUGCGUAACUUUUGUCCGAUUUGAGUUGGUAUUAAGUUUCUCGUGUUCGACCUUGAAGGUCGAGGAUUACUAGAGUUGUCGCGUUUUAGGAAGCGAUAGCACUGCGUAGGCGAUCUUCGUUAGAUCGGCGCGGGAUGGGCCAAGUGGCAUCCCUGGGCAAUUUAGGCGAGCGGAGACUUGAAACUUCGCGAGUUUUGGCGGCCCUCGUGACCUUUGAGAAAUUAACGGGAUCCUCGUCGUGUUAAACCACUUCUGGUCGAAUUGACCAAAAUGCAUCGAGAGAAAUAGUUGGACAAAAUCCAAUUGACAUUCCAACAAUGCUGGAAGGGUUAAAAUUGAGUUCCAAAAGAGUUAAGGAGGUUUUAGCAUUGCUCGGCGCGAGGCAGAGUCGAAAGGGAGCUAAAAUGGCAAUCUCGGCAAAGUGUACCGGUACAAUAUUCAUGCUGUACAGGUACAACCAUCGCAAACCGAGAGCAGAAUGCUCUCAGGUUUGCCUCUACGCGAGUGCGUUACCGGUAACACCCCUGGUGUGUACCGGUACACUUUGGCAGAACCCGAGUAGUUGCUCGCGGGUUUGCCUCUGCGAGAUCAUGUUACCGGUGACAGGGUGGCCCGUACCGGUACACUUUGGGUCUGACAGCAAAAAUAAAUCUGCUGCAAUUAUGGAAAAGAGAGGGGUUUAGAUGUGAUUGUGGCAGCUUGCAAAAUGGCCCCAACUCCUCCUCACUUGAUCACAGCCUAAGACCACCCAGCAUGUGGUUUUUCUCCCUCUAUUUCUCUAGGAGCCCUUCCCGAGUGUGGAUUGGUGGAGAUUAGAGGAGAUUUGAGGAUUAGACCUUGUGGAUAGAACAAGGCGGUGCAAUUGUGCGAGAGGGAGCGUGAGUCUAAUGGCAAGGAAAAAAGAAAAUAGGACGGCCAACGAGUGGAUUCGGUGGUCCGUCAAGUUCUCAAUUGAGUGCAAUGUGUUUGUGCUCGUGAUUUCGAGUUCCGGGGACCUACUGUAUUCGGUCCUUGGUGAGAUGUGUCGUUUGUGGGUAUUUUCGUUACCCACAACAGUGCGAGCUACGAGAGGGCGUUGAGGACAAUGCAACCUAAGGGUUCGCGGCAAGCGCCGGGUGGCCGUAGAUAAGCGACCCAGGUUGAGGAACCUGCUGCUGACGACGUCGUUGCAGGUAUGAGUUAUUGAUGCAAGCAUAUGUUUUGCAUGAUGUGAAGUUGAUGCAUUGCAUGCAAUGGUUAUGUGGUUAAUUACUAUUGUCGUGUAUGAGCAUAGUAGAGACCGAGUGGACGGGUAAGUAUAGAUACCUGGGCAUGCUCGUGUUGUGAGGGCGUAGUAACUGCCAGUACAGGGAUAGAGCCAGAUGGCACUAGUGAAGUGCUAGUAGUGAUCUAUGGCGAGAAGUGAGACUCGCGGUAGAGAUAGAAGUGGCGAAUCGACUCUCAAAGCAGUAUGAGUAGUAAAUUGCGAGAGUUGAGCCAUGAUGCUUAUGGGCACCCCAGUAAUCCGGAAAUUUCGGAUGUCAUUUCGGUAGGUCGAACAGUGAAAGUGAAUCACUGUUGAUAAAACAGUUGGUUAGUCGCCAAGUACUAGCACGUGGGCCUUGUAGUACCUCGAUGUGAGGUAGGAGGGUCAUGCUUGUGUAGUCAGCGUGCAUAGGCCAGAAUUGCCUAAUGCUGGACUUAGUGUGGAGCGCUAUAGAGGCGUGUGACGUUCGAGUAGAGUUACUCGUGGAGUGCGGAUUUAGUUCAGCCAAGUGAGUGUGUUGGCAGUAGCACUUAAGCUCUGCGAGGUGUGAAGCGUGCCAGGGAAUCACUCGUAGGGCGGAUGGCUCGCACUAGGUACCUAGGAGCCGGUAGUCAUACGUAUGCUCGAUAGAACGCGUCAUGUGAUUGAUAGUACACCGAGAGUACGAUGGUGACCCAACCUGGGGAUCUAUAACGGUUUGGGGUCUUAGUUGCUCCUGGUUGGAGUGUGUGCGAAUUCCCAAGUGAGAAUUUCGCCCGAUGAUAAUUGGGUCUGCAUUUGCGGGCGAGAGACGCUGCGUAUUAAGACAGGUUUAGGCGGUAGGCCUACGUAGGAUUGGUAGCCUUUGGUCCACCUGUGGAGACUGAAGAAAGCGAUUUGGCGGAUAGCCUUAUCGAGGAGUUUAGCUUGGAUUCACGAACGGAGUGUUCGUGUGAGCUCAUUGCGAAAAUAAUUUGACGUUGAUCGUGGCAUGUGGUAUCAGAUGAUGAAGUACUCCUUGUGAGACAUCAAACUAGUGAAAGCCACGUGAUGUUGGAGACUAUGCUCGUAAGCGAACUAAGACUUGAGAUGUGCCGAAGUGGGCCAUCUCACAUUAAAGUUAAAGGUCAGUGCAAAAUUAGAGCACUCACGACGGAGCAAUGCAUCGGUGAUAUUGCUUUUAAGCAAUGUCAGUGAUCGAAUCAGAAUGUAUUCCCUGAAAGGAAGGUAAGUGCAAAGAAGAGUUCUUUAUGUACCCAAUGGCGAGUGGUGUUGGAGCGCGUAGAGUCGUCGAGUACCGACUUGCGCUGCCACUAUGACUUGCAAGACCUGUGAUGCACUUUUAUAUCAUACUUUGCAAAUGUGUUUAGGAUUAAACCAACGUCCUUUAGUAUGAGCCGCUUCUGGAACCACGAUAGUGUGAAGCCGCUUGGGAGUGGGAGAAUGAGUUGGUACCCCCAAUUGCUCGCGGAGCUGAAUUGAUGCGUGGUUUGAAUUUCGCGGACGAAAUUCUUUUUGAAGGGUGGAGAAUGUAACAUACCGGAUUUUGAUAUAAAAAUAAUAAAUAAAUAAAAAUAGUGUAAGAUACUAUUUUUAUUGAAUUUAGAGAGGUAAAAUAUAAGUCAGAAGUGACUUGUGCUGAAAUCGGAAUGAAAACAGAAGAUUUAUAAUUUUCUGUUGGAAACGGGACAGAUAAAUUAGCAGAAAAUGCACAGUGUCAGAAAAUUAUAAAAACUGGAGGAUAAGUCAGAAUUAUUUUUAUGAGGCUAUAUUUAAAGUUUCAUAUCAUUCUGACACCCGGAAGGUAGAAAAUAAAAUCCGACAGCUAUCUGAUAAAGAUUACAAUUCGAUAUAAUUUUCGGUGACCAAACGGGGUCGAAACUGAAAUGUUAAAAUUUCUUUGUACUUAUUUAGUAAAACUGAGCCUGACUGUCAAAUUUGAGUGCAAACGGACAUUCAGAAGGGCUCCGGCGAAAAAUGUCAGUUUUAAACUGCCUGGAGUGAAUAGUGUUUGAGGGGCUAUUAUGUAAUUAAGCUUGCCUUUCUCUUGUCAUCUCCCACAGCCGACCACACCACCAACACACGCACGCAUGGAGAGGGGGAGAGAAACCUUCAUUUCUCUCUCUAAAUAUCUCUCUCAUCUCUCUAAAUCUCUCUCUAAAAAUUGGAGGGUUGGUGGAGAGCGAGCUUGCGAACGCGUUGGGAGCGACAGAUCGAGCUUUCGUGCGGCCGUUGGAGCGGCGUGCUUUCGUCGCGGCGUUCACAUUUUGGUAAGCUUUUGAGAUUUUGUUUAAAUCCUUCAUGAAUGAUGUUCUAGUAGUAUCUAUAGUGUUCUAAACAUAUUUGCUCCAUUUAAUUUCGAUUAUUUGGAGGUUAUUUGUAUAUUAGGGCUCCGAAUGGGGUUUUGUAAAAUAGUAGGGUUUGAUCUCAUUUGACCCUCCGUAAACCUAAUUGCUAGGUAAACGAACGCGUUGGCGAGGUCGGUUCGGUAAUUUGUCGAGCCGUUGUAAAGAUAUUGAAGAAACGGACUAUUUAGCUUCGUUUCCGCCUGGAGGGCCGAGCCGACAUCAUAAAAUCAUGAAAACGGAUUUGGAGCACCGUGGCACAUAACCGAAGACCUAUAAUUUUCGGAGCAGCGAUUCGACGCACAGUUGGUGAGUAUUAGCAAAAUCGGGCCGAACCGGACACGGGUGCCGCGGGAGGCCGAUUGCAAGUGUCGACAAGCAAUCGGAAAGCGAUUUGAGGUGGGUUGUGUUUACCGAAGCGACUAGGUCGCCCCACAUGUCAAAGCAGAAUAUGGAUUUUUGUUGAUGCAUAUGUAUGUGUAUACUGGCAUGUUAGCAUUAUGUAAAUGUAUGCUAGUGGGUAGAAUACAUGCUAGUGAUAAUUGCAUAAUAAUGCAUUAGAAAGAACAUGCUAGUAAGUAGAUGCAAGUGAUGUGCAGGUUGGCAUUGUAAUGUGCUAGGUGAAAGAUAAUGCAUGUAAAUCUAAUUGAUAGGUUUAGGGAAUCAUGCAUGUGAACCUAUUUGUUAAAUGGAAACAUAGACAUGCUAGCAUCAUGUAAAUACUUGCUUGUUGAUGAUUGCAUAUAAAUAUUAUGUUUGCUAGUUGAUAGUUGCAUGUUGAUGCAUUAGAAGUGCAUGCUAGUUGAUAAUGGCAAAUUGCUAUGUUGAAGUAUAUGCUAGAUGUUAUUUGCAUGUGACAUGUUAGCCUACAUGCUAGAAGAGAGCAUAGUGACAUAAUGAGAAAAGGCUAAGUAUAAUAUGCAUGUUGAUAACGCGGAUGUUUAUAGAAACUCGAUGUGGACAAUUAGGUAUUCAGUAGAUCGAGUGGCAUUAACCUAGUGUUAAUAAACAUUGGUCGAACAAAGAUGACAUUGAACCUAGUGUUAGUAAAAUAGGUUGCAUUGAACCUAGUGUCAUGGACAUAGAUUGGAUAAGAGUGACAUACGAACCUAGUGUUAAUAAACAUAGGUUGAGCAUUAACCUAGUGUUGUUGAACCUAGGGUAAAUCAUGUGUGGCAUUAACCUAGUGUCGUGAACAUAGGUUGUGAACUCGACCUAGAGUUAAAGUGAACCUAGGUUAUGUGAUUGAGGUAUUAAACCUAGAGUCAGUUGGACCUAGGGUGGAAAGUGCAUUGGACCUGGUUAGGUCGAUACUAUAGGAUUUGAGACCAACCCUUGAGCUAUUUAAAGUGGAUUCCGGAAUCCCGAGACUUGUGAGCUCGAUAGUUUUUGGCCGCGGGUGCAUGUGGCAUGUUCCUCUCCCACCGGAAGAACCUUGAGGAUUAUGACUGAGCAAGAAUAGAGAGUGCUAGGGUGUAUACGGCAUGUUCCUCUCCCUAUCAGGGAUCUCGGCUGCGGGUGUAUGCUGCAUGUUCCUCUCCCACCGGGGGAUCCCUGACCACGGUGUACGGACCUUCGGGCGAACCGUUUGGCGAUGUGGUUCUUGGCUUGUAAGCUGAGGUGCAUGUGAGAAUUCCUUUGCCUCGAGCCGUGCAGAGCGCGGAUUAUCCGCAAUUGAUUGACUCGGGGCCGAGUCGGGUGGCUAGCUGGAAUAAGGUAGAUAGAACCUUGAGAGCUAGUGGUAAAUGUGAUAAACCUAAGGUAAUAGAAACCUUAGAGUUGGAUGAUAUGAACUAAAGUUAGCAAGAUUGAAUGUAGAAUCAAUAGAUCUACUAGUUGUUGCAUAUAUAUUCAUGUUGCAGAUAGCAUGGCAUCGUUACAGUUGUGAGGCAAGGCAUGGUAAUGUUAGUUGCAUAUUUAAGAUAAAUAUAUAUAUAUAUAUAUCUAUCUGCUUAUUGGACUAACAUGUGUUUGCCUCCUUUGGACCUGUUGGUCGAGCUCUUCUCUUGGGUGGCCGCACCCACUGGAAACCAUGGAGUUGGUUCUCACCCCACGUUGUUUUGGGGUGUUACAGGUUCGCACGUGAGCGGCGCGGCGGCGCGAGGAAAAGGCAUAGCUUCGUAGGUAGCGCCCUACCCCAGAGACCAGAGAUUGCAGUACCCCGUGUCGGCAUAGCCUAGGAGUAUAGGGCAAGGAAAGAACAAGAAUGUAUCAAACUUGUAAUAAAUUUGUAAUAACUAGAUUGUAAUUUGGAAAUUGAAUGUAAAAGAAACUGUGAUGUAAAAAUGUAAGCUGGUGAAUGCUUGUAAUAACUUAGUUGUUUAUGUUUUUGAUACUUCCUUAUGCAAUCUAUGCUUGAUUUCUGUUCAUAGCUGGAACAUCGUGAAUUGUAUUGAUUGCGACGCCUACGUACAGGAAAAACUCUGUCCGUUCGGCGGUCUGUCGGCGUGCCCAAAUCCCACCAAAUAGGCGGGUGUCGGGGCGUGACAGCACUAUUCAUGGUCUUCAAAUUUUUGUUGUCCUCUUCAAUAUCCAAUAAACGACGCCUCAACUUCUUAUUGUGCUUGGUCAUCUUUUUCGAAUCAAUAAGAAGUUGGUUGUAUGCUUCCGCUAUAUCCUCGUCGUUUGAUUCCUCCUCGCUUUCACCGAUAUCGCUCGAAGUACCUUGCACGGAAGGAGAAAUACUAGAAUUAGAAACAAUUGAGGAUAAGCACAUAACAUUAGACGAAGGCAAAGAAUUAUUAGCAAGUAAAGCAAUAUGAUCAUCCUUUUCUUCGUCACUUGAAGAUGAUUCACUCGAAGUAGAAUUAUCCCAAGUUUUUGCUUGCAAAGCCUUUUGUCUAUAAGUCUUCUUAGAAGGACAAUCCGUUGCAAUGUGACCGUAGCCUUUACAUUUGUAGCAUUGGAUUUUCCCUUCAAACUCAUCUUUCAUUCGAAGAUUUUGCAAGUUUUUUAUCCUUAGAUUUUAAAUUAGAAGAAUGCUUAGAAGAGGAUUUAAGCUUUGAAGAUGAAGGUUUGUUCGAUUUGCUCUUUCGAAAAUUCCGGCGAAACUUCUUCGUGAGGAGCGCAAGUUGAUGUUCGAAAUCAGCGAGCGAAAUAUAUCCGUCGGAAUCCGAGUCGUCUUCUUCUUUCUUUGUUGAUUUGAGUGCCACCCCUGUGCUUUUAGAAAAAGACUUGGAAGAAGAUAGGUUAGUAGGAAAAGUGAUCUCAUACGUUUGUAAAGCGCCUACUAACUCUUCGACUUUCAUCUCAUUCUGUUGCUUAACGGUUUCAAUCGCGGCAACAUUUGCCCGAAAGCGUUCUGGAAGAGUUCGAAGAAUCUUUCUAACAACUUUAGCAUCCGAAAUUUUAUCUCCCAAGUUAGCGCAUGUAUUGACAACUUCUUGUAGUUGCGUAUAGUACUCGGUAAAGAUCUCGUUUUCUUCCAUAAAAAUCGAGUCAAAUUUGCUUGUUAGCAUUUGUAAUUUUUGAACCUUUACUAAGCUUGUUCCUUCAUGCGUAACUUGUAGAGUAUCCCAAAUUUUCUUUGCCGUUUCACAUGCCGAAACACGAGUAAACUCCGUUUGCGAUAAAGCAUUGAAUAAAGCAUUAAUUCCUUUACCGUUAAACGAAGAUGACUCGUUUUCAUCUUUUGUCCACUUGUUUCGCGGUUUAGAGACGGUAGCACCAUCGACAACUUCGGUAGGAUGUUUCCAUCCGAAUUCAAUAGCUUUCCAUACCCGCUCAUUGAUUGCGAUUAGAAAAGCUCUCAUGCGAAUUUUUCAAUAGGCAUAAUUCGUGCCGUCAAAGAGCGGUGGUCGAUUAAUGUUACCGCCUUCUGCUAUUAGAUAACAAUUUAUCUAGAUCCCGCUCUGAUACCAAUUGAAAGUUUUGAGGAGCCCAAGGAUCUAUCUAGAUUGUAUCUAACACCUAGAGGGGGGUGAAUAGGUAUAAUAGCCAAAAACCACAAAUUUCAAUGCGAUAAAAAUAAAUACGGAAAAUAAAAAUCACAUCGAGAUUUACAUGGGAAGACUCCAACUUGGAGUAAAAAUCCCACGGGACCAACACGCGAAAAAAUAAUUCACUAAGAGAAAAGAUUACAAGGUAAUUACUGACUCCACGGACUCAACCUCUCUUAACCUCCUAUGAAUAUCGCGCAAUCCUCCGGGUUGUCCACGCCCUUAUGUUCAAAUCCACGAACGCCACGUUCCGAAUCCACGAAAUGCCUCCACUCCGAAUCCACGAAGCUCACAAUCCGAAUCCACGAACCGCCGUCAAUCACGCCGAAUCCACGACGCCGUCAUGAAGAACAUCAUGUGUAUGGUGAUCCUCCGCUUAGAGUAUCGAUGAAAACUAGGAAAGAGAACUCCAAGCGAAGCGAAAAUCAAAUCGACAUAUAGAUAUGAAAUUUCAAUAUCUUGAUUUGACCUAAAAGAGGCUAAUAUGUAGAAAAUAGGUUUUAGAUGAAAUCCGAGCCUCUAGGGUUUCUCAAACAUGUAUUUUCGUGAUGCUUGAUCUGUUAGAGAACCCCAAUAGCUUAUUUAUAGACUUUAGAAUCAAUUGGAGUCGGAUUAGAAAGUUUUCACGAUUUUACACUGUGUACCGGUACACUUUAAGCUGUCACCGGUUACACGAUGACGGAACGAAAAAACUGACGAAACAGUGAAACCGGUUACAUGUUGAUGGCUGUACCGGUACACAUUUUGUACCGGUACACUUCUGAUGCUGUACCAGUACACUUUGCAAAUUUUCACCGUUUCGGGUUUUGCAAAGUUUCGAUGCACUUUCUAAUCCAGUAAAUUUUGAUAUUAUGAUUCUAAUACCUACAACUAAGUAUAAAUCACCAUAACAUGAAUUAACACUUUACCUGGGCAUCGUGAUUCACAUCGUGAAUUAUUUUCCAAUUUCUUCGAAAUCUUGAAUUCUUUGAUCUUCGACGAUACGCACCGAUUCUUCAAGACUCUGACUCACUUCACGAAACUUGCCAACACACAAGGCUUAACACCACCUUGGUCUGCGGAUCCCAACUUCCACUCCACCCCCAUGAUCGCCCCCCUUUGUCCAGAGAGAAAAUAGGGGUAAGCUGGCUUUCGAACUGGAGCAGAGGUAGAGACUUGUUGGCUUUGGUUCUCGUGACGUCCACAAUGACAUUGUCAGUUAGGCUAGCUGCAUGCAAACUCUUCAUCCGCCCCAUCCCCUCUAUAGACCAGAGAAAGGCUCUUAACCCGAAGGAGGUCAAGUGAAACUUCGGCCCGCAGCCCCUCGUGUGAAUCAGGACCCGUUAUGGCAUGGGCUUAGAGGUGGUGACUAGUUCCAGGCCCAAUCCUCAACGAAGUACUCAACCCCAUUCACAGUGAGCUAUCCCCUUCCGCACCCACCACUAGCUACCUGGCCCAAUAAGAUUUUCACCUGGCCCGAUAAGAUCUUCAGGGGUGUCCAUGCAUGCUUGACAGCCAACUUGGGUUUGGGUCCAAAGGUUUGACCCAGAUCAUCUAUGGCCUCGGGCCCCACAACAACCAUAGUAGUGUUUUCCUCCUCCCAAGGCAUUCUCCAUGAUAGUGAAGAAAGAUGGUGUCUUUCUGAACUCACCCAGACCUCUCUCGUGUAAGUUUCCAUUAUCGUGAAAGUCGCGACCAUCUCCCUCCGCUCUACCUCCUUGGUUCCUGAGCUCCCUUGAUCUCGAUCUUCACGCCGUCGCUAUUAUUCAUUGCGACGAGUGGCUGUCCACCAUGCGCCACACCGUCUCUUGCCGCCGACGUAGAUCGCUAGGCCACCGCGGGUACGCGCUGGGACACCAUGUGUAACACACUGGACCUUUGCAAAUUGCGAGGUUCAAGUAUUUGAUCAGUGUUAUGAAUUUUUUCAGAUUUUCUGGUGGGUCGUUAACAGUGUUCCGACCUAUCGCUCGUAUCCCGAGAACUGAGUUGUCUUACUUCUACUUGCUUUCAUAUCUCUUUUGUUGUAGACACUUUAUAUGUGCAGGCAUAUGGCGGGUCUGGGCACGCACCGGGCGGGCCUAUGCCGGGUCCCGGGGCGUGACACCAUGGCUCCCGGAACCAUGUAAAUCGAUUGCGCUUACCCGACCUCCUCUAGCUCCCCGUCGUCGUCACCCAUCACGUCAUCGGCGGUUACCUGACUACCGUUAGCUUGGUGUCUACAAUCUCUACCAUCCACUUGCAUCACGUCGUCGUCGGGCCCAUUCUGUGGCGGUGUGGGGGGUUCGUCACCCCUUGGCCCCUCAGCACUCUCCCAGCUCUCCAGGUGGACCAUGACUGAGAAGAUCUCCUCGCCAAGCACUACGAACAAGUUUUGUGGAAUGUCGCUUGCCAACUCGAGAGUGAUUUGGCACCGGAAAGCUCUGAGGUCUGUCAUCGCCUUCGUCAUGUCGUCUACCUUGACAAACCGCCCAAACUAGCUAACCAUCGCCGCCACUCGUGCCACAGUCCAACACUCAAACGGUAGGUUGAUCAAGCGAACCCACGCUCUAAACUGUACCCGAUAAGGACGAGCAUUUCUGUAAAGGCCCCAUAGGUAACACCUGAUCCAGAAUCCGUCGAGAGUAAGGACUUCUCUUCUAGUUAGAAUCUCUGCCGAGACCGAAUCUAGCAGAAAAAUUGCAAAGUCCCUGUCCCUAUACCGUGCGACCGUAAAAUCUUGUGUAUACCCCCCAAAACGUCUGGCCAUUGCACGUACGAUGGAGUGGAUAGGGUCAAGUCCCAGGUUCGCAGGCCAGAUUACGUCCGCGAGGACAGCAUUGCGAUGCCAUUCCCUUUUUCACAAUUACUCCUCCGUGUAAGGUACGUAGACCUUAGAGUGCGGCAUGCGGCCUCGUUGACAGUAAACUCUAUUCAUUUCGACGUUGAUCCUAUCAACUUUUUCCUUACAGCUGAGUGCUCGGUGCCCGAUUUUUAGACACCUGAACCACUUUACAGGGUCGCGACACACUGCGACUCUAUGGUCGCUAGCUAUACACCAGCACCUCUUGACUUUGCUGUGGGAUGAAGGAUCCUUGGAUCUCAGGGAGUAGGGUUUCAGGUUGUGUUGAUGAGUGGAAGCAGGAGGUUGUAAGCGCGGCUUCCUCAGCCACACCUCCUUAUAAGACCCACUGGCAAGGAAGCAGGAGUUAAUGUCGCCACCUUCCGCUCUGUACCGCCCUCCCCUCUUAGCAUCUCUGGGCAAUAUCCGAAGCUUUCCACUUUGUUGUCCUUCAUUUACACCAUCCUUAUGAUCUCGAUCGAAGCCCUUACUGGAAGCGGCUAGAGUCACCUCCUCUUCAUUAUGAUACCUAUUGACCUCUAUCAAAUUUCUACCAACCUCAUCCGCCCAGGCCAACCGCUUCAAAGGCUUCUUCCCUGCCCAGGCUAGUUGCGUCGAAGGCUUCUUCCCCUCCUUCUCACUCUCUCUUCUCUCUCUCUCUACUUCUCUCAAUCCUUUUGUGACAUAUAUAAAUUUUAACUAACAAAAAGUGCUGUUUGUAUCCAAUAAUUUUCAGGUAUCAUCGGAUUGGUCACGCCCGACGCGGGUUACCAGCGGAGUAGGACGGCAUACCAGAACACGUCAACUCGUCAGGUGGGCUACAGAGGCCCGUACCGCUGCCAAGUAUAUAAGGGGAGUAUCAAGAGAAGCACACAGCAUUAGGAAGUAUAACAAAGGAGUCAGUCUAUUCCCUGAUAUCAUAGAGCAAUGUUACUAGUCGAUUAUCUAUCGAGUAAAAGAACAAAAGAGUGUACAAUCCAAAAUCUCGACUAAGAAGAAUAAAGUAUCAACAACUUAAGUUUCGGUCAAAGGUAAAUUUAUAACAUCACGGACAGUACAACAAAAAAACUAGGUCCAAUGUUGU